UGUAUCGAUCUCAACUUCCGCAAACGCAGCUCCAUAGGUGUAAUAUCUGAAUGGGUCUCCUUUACCAGAGAUCCAGUCAAAGCCAACGUCGGGAACAAUGUAAAAGCCAUGAGCCGAGAGGUCUAUUCGUUGAAAAUAGCAUGCACUUGCCAGCUACAUACCAAUCAAAACAAAGCAGGUUAAGAGAGUUUUAUUCAUCAAAAGGCAAAGAAUGUUUCAUUGAGUUACCUCAGCAAAGGAGUUGCCACUGAGCUUAGUGGCAAGAGGCUCCAUUCGUGCUUUAAUCUGCUCACAAGCGUCCAAAACCGCAGCACCGUACAUGCAGAGCUCAGAGAAGCAGCGGUUGGUGACGCAUUUGGAACCUAUCAAAAUAUAGAGCAACGAACAGUUUUGUGCCUGAAACAUAGUUACAUAUUAUUUCUUAACACUUUAUAUUAUAAAUAUUACCUUGUCGGUGCUCGUCUCUGAUACAAAAACGGAACUAAGGGGAAUGUUAAAGGCAAAAGCAGCAACUUGGGCAACCUUCGUAUGCAAUCCUUGACCCAUCUCUACACCUCCAUGUGUCACCAAAACAGUGCCGUCUGUGUACACAUGAACAAGAGCACCUGCCUAACACCCAAAAUAAAAAAUGGAUAAGUAACAAAAACUCUGUUUCUUGCUUCGCAAGAAAUGGUAGUGCAAAGUGGACUGUUUCUUACCUGGUUCAUGAACUUUUUGGUAAAUGAAACGCCAAACUUUGUAGGAACCAUAGCCACACCACGCUUUUUCCACCGGUUGUGGCUAUUAAAAUCGUCGACUUCUCUACGAGCCUUUAGAAAGUUGCAAGACACUUUCAGCUCCUUCCAGAGCUGAUGCAGUGUGCAAUGCUGAAUACACUGAGAGUAAUGUGUGAUAGAGCCUUCCACUUGAAAGUUCAUCUCCUAAAUUGACACGCAAGAAAACAUCAAAACAUGAGAAAAAAUUCCUAUGAACUUUCAGGAACAUUAUGAUUUCUUCAACUCACUUUGAUUUCUUCAGGGCUUCUAUCCAGUUCAGCUGCGAUUCUCUGGAUCCAGUUUUCGGUUAUAAGCAUGCCUUGCGGACCUCCAAAGCCUCGGAAAGCAGUGUUGCUAGGAUAGUUAGUAAAGCAAACGUUCCCUCUGAUCCUCACAUGUGGGAUCUCAUAGACAUUAUCAGAGUUAAACAUGGCAAUCUCAAGAACAGCUUGGGAAAGAUCCAAAGAGUUUCCACCAUUGUUGUAGACUUCAAGGUCAUACGCCAAUACUUUCCCACCAUUAGUAAACCCAACCUGUAAAUAGUAUCGGAAUAACAAUUAAUAAGAAAACGCUUUAUCUAAUAACCACAGAGGAUGAUGAUACCUUCGUUGCCACCAUCACUUGUCCAGACCAAACUACCAUGGGCUCCAUGUAAAAGUGUUCCUGGCUGCCCAUUUGAACCUCUCCAUUUAUUAUCCUAUCUCACUGACCUGACUGAAAGCAUAGCUCUACAUCUCCUUUCCUUAGCAUUUUCUCUGUGUUUGGGUGGAAACUUUUAGCAGCAAUAGCCUCCUUGAUUGAUAAUAUUGCUGGUAAUAUAGCAUUUUCAUGUGUAUCCGCAACAACCACACCAAUGACCUGAAAAAAUCCAGACACAGUUUAGCGAUAAUCUAAGAAAUAAAAAGUUUCAAGUCUUCUUACUUGUCCCACACAUGUGACCACAUCUGUAGCAAAUAAUUCUUCAUCAGCUACCACAGGUCCAGUCUUAUUAUCUGCUGGACCGUAUUUGGCAAGAAACAUACCAGCAAAACCACGUGAAGAUUUGGAGGCACUGGGGCAUCAGUAUAUUCUGCUUCCCCUGUGACCUACAUGAAAGUUCAAGAGUGUUGAGAGUUGAGACAUUGUGUUAUGCUUUGAUUUCACGAUUUCCUUCUAUAAUAGUUUACUGAAAAAUGCUUUGAUAAGCAAUCAUUUUCUAGACUUCUUGUUAUGUUGUUGAGAAACUUAAGGUCCCAUUUGGUUCUUAUAUAAUAUUACGAGUUUUCUCUCUGGUUCAAGAAUCGAGACAACGCCGCUACCGCUGCUUCUUGACGCCGGCAAGGCUAGAGGCCGCCGGCGUCGGGAAAUCUGCUACAUCUUCCUCAUGGUUUCUCUCGCUCCAAGUCAAAGCUCUCGUCUUGUUUCUUGCUUCGCACUUACUCAAUCAGUUUCUCUAGAUCUGGGGCCGUCGAAACUGGAGCAAACCUUCGUGGUCUCUGCUCAGGUUUUCAAGACCACCGGAACUGCAUCCUUCACCGGGGUCUCCCGAAAAAGCUGUACAAGGUCCACCUUUCACCUCCUUCCCUACUCUGAGUUCGCCCUUCACAUGUGCUUCAGAUCUGAGAGGCCCUCCGUGGGAUGUUCCGGAUCUGAGCUACGCUCGGAUAAAGAUCAAAACUCAGCCAUAAAGAACACUUCAGGCCACCGCAGUGCAUCAUCUUUGAGUUAUAAACAGGGUUCCGUUUCUCUUCUCGGCGGCUGCUCAACCCCCAACAUUCCAAAUAUCAUAGCAUUCUCUCCUCCAUCUUGCGCCACCGUCCUUCAUCCCGACAACGAAGUGCUCCUUAGCUUUGCCACACACACCCUUGUCUACAAGCUCAGACCCGAUGUUCUCCGUUCCAGCUCCGCCUCCCACCCUCCAGCCAGGCUGGUUGUUAAUGGGCCGAAUUUCAAUUGUUUGUGGGCCUGGCCCAGUACCACUAAAGAAGGAAGCGGCCCUUUGCUUAGUCAGUCAAUACCCACUGCAUACGAGAGUCAACUAACCACGGGUUUGAUUAUUUUGACUAGUUUAAAGAAUUCUGAGGGGUUCCUUGGGAUCUAUAUUAUGUCCUUAUUGUUAUAUCACUCUUAUAGGAUGAAUUGUUCGGUGGAUUCACCGACUUUGUUACCGGUACUAUCAUUCUCUUCUACAAGGGAGAGAAUCUUAUUACCAUGCCUCUUUUCUGUGAAAGGAGAUGAUUCCUCGGGUUUAAUACCGAGAGUUUGCUUCAACUUACUCACCGGUUUGCCACCUUGUGUAGCGGUCUGUACGGGGCCAGAAGGUGCAAUCGAGACUACUUCGGUUUCUCUCGUUGGUGAGGGUUGGCUUUCAACGUCACAACAUAAGGUGACUAAAUCUCAGCUGUCGGACCGUGUCUUACAUGCUUCCUCGACGCAUUCAAGCUUUGUCUUGAAUUCGCUGUCAUCUUCUGAUGAAGAAUUAUCAUGUUUAAUUAAUCUUAAUUGCUGUUGUAGCUUAUGUUUAUUUUUCAAGAGGAUGUUUAAUUCCCUCUUGUUAUUGUAGUUCUUCGAGUUGAUUUAAUGAAAAAAAAAGUUUGUGUUCAAAAAAAAAAAGCAAUCAUUUUCUACCCAAGAGAAGAGAGAUACAUCUUUCUUCCAUGUUUGAAUAGGCAGAGAUAACACAAAGAAUGGUGAUAACAACACUCGGUUACACUAUGAUUCACAGCGAUUGUUCUUUAAAUCCUCAAGAAUCUGUUACCUAUAAAUUUAUAAGAAAACAGCUCACCUUUUUAAAAUAAAAUAAAAAUAAGUUCGAUAGAGAUCAUCAAAUUCAUAAUGGAAGUGAACUUGUCCAAGGAAGAAUAUAAGAAACUUGAACGAACAAAACAUCUUUCCUCAUCAACGAAACCAAUAUGUGCAAGAAACGGAGCAAAGGUAUGUCUCUGAGAUUCUUCCAAGCAACUUGAAGUAGAUAGGGUACUUGCAACGAUCCUUACACCGCCCCUUGCAAAACGGACGAGUUACACUAUCAUUGAGCCCCACCUGACACGAUUUGCCCCAAAUCUUUGCUAAACUUCUUGGCAUGAGCCCUGUCGAGUCUCCGAGCACACACCUUGUAUGCAAACUAGCCCGCUGAUCUUUACAAGUGUAGAACCAUUCCUUUGAAUCGGUUUCUUUCUCGCAGAUGUCACACCAAUAUUUACCACUUGCCUCCUCUUCUUCGCCAUAGCACAGUGAGAGAGGAUGAUCGUCUACUCUAUUCUUCACCACUUGUGGUAGAGUGGCGCAUUUGAAUCCCAAUGCAAAUCCACAAUCACCUUCAAUGCACCUGAGGACAUGUGAUUCCUUCAAGUUGCAACCAUUGCAUAUUUCUACUUCUUCUGUUGGAAUGUAAUAUAAGGGAUGUUGGGGAUGACUUGGAUGGAAAAAUGGCUCAGAAAUUGAACCGCACAAGACAUCAAACUCCUUAUCUUCAUCCUUGUACAUGAAACCAUUGGACCUUCGAUAGCAAGCAUCACAACUGAAGACUUCUAGCUCCUUGUUUGUAACUAAAGUGAGCCGUUCAUUGUGUAGUACAUGUCGUCUCCUUUUAGGACAUUCAGCACAUUUCUGAUGUAGAGAAAAAUUACAAUCCACACAGCCAUAAUAAGAUUGAAGACCGAUGGGAUGGGUGCAUGCGCUGCAUCGUUUGGUAUCCUCAUACAAAACACCAUUCUCAUUGAAUCUGAGGUAAUGCUCUUUGUGGCUGAAAUGUUGUAUUGUGUUGUCGUCUAUCACCACAUAUGGUUCUAUAUCUUCUUCUUCUUCAGGUACUCCUUCUAGUUCUUCCCCAUUCCACACAUCUUUUCUGGUAGCACAUUUAGAAUGAACGACAUAACCAGGACACCUCUUACAAGAAAACCCACCACAAGUCCAGUCCACCUUCUUGCGACAAACUCCGCAGACAGAAUUCAUAGCAGCAUCACCAAGAACCGAAGUACGAGAAACACGGUGAUCAUGCCGGUUGAUGUUAAUGACACGUGGAAGGCCAAGACAAUCUUGAUGGAUCAUGAAACCACAAUCAAAACAUGCGUAAGGGCUUCGAUCUCCCUUUAGACCGCAAGCAUUACAUGUAAAAGAAUCGAGUCUUGGAAGAAGGGUGAGUUGGUGAUCAUGCACUUUCGGAUCAACAAGAGAUUUUUGUGGUGGAAUAAGAACACAAUGGAAAUCCACAGUGAAGUUACAAGAUGAACAAUGAUAAAAAUAUUCACCAAUCUCUGUUCCGCAAAGACGACAUUUACCAUCAGAAUAGUCCGGUGGGGGAACUGUGAGGAGCUUAAGAGGAUGCAAGGAGUGGUAAGGGUGGUUUACCUCUGGUGAGUAAUUUAGCUUUGUUGCUGGGUUCCAUACACAAUCCACGUGGAAGGAUACAUCGCAUUCAUCACAUUUGUAAGGAAGUCCACCACUAGCCUUCCCGCAUUUAGCAGAACAGUCGAACUUAGUCCCUUUCUUGAGAAGUAUGAGCUUGUGGGGAUGGGUCUCAAAAUUGUCAAUAACAUUUGGUGGUUGUUGCUUGGCACAGUGUAGAUCCAAGUCGAAGUCACACAUGUCACAACGGUAGAAUAGCUUUGAGAUUUUCCAACGACAAAAGUCACAUCUGUUACUUGAUUCAUGUUGAAGCUCGAGAGUGUGCCCGGGGUGAGAUGGGUGGUCGAUGAAUUCAGAGAUCUCGUCGUUGCCACAUUUCUUGUGGACGAAAAAGACACAGAGUUUACAAAAGUAGCCGUCACUCUGUGAUUCAUAUCUCCCACAACAAUCACCUCUCCUCAGAUCAUUCCAAGGCAUCAUAGGAUGCUCGUGAAAUGGUAACCACACUCCCUCAGAUUCCAUUUGCUCUCUCUCUCUCUCGUAUACUAAAGAAGAUGAAGAAAGAGAAAGGGGUUGAAUACGUGUAUUAAGAAAAAGAAGAAGUCAUGAGGUUGAACAGUGUGGGCAUCUCUUUCUCUGGCCACUCAAACAUUAUCCCCUCUCAAGUUUCUUUGUUUUCAUAUUUCGAUAAAGAAAAGGUUCCCUAUGCUUAAGGUGGGGUUGUCCGCUUUGUUUUCUCUUUUACUUUUCUGGUUUUCUUUUUGCUUUUUCUCCAAAUGCGUAGUAUUGUCACUUAUCAGCUGCAUAACCGUAACGAAGAAAGAUGGUGGACGCUCAAGAAGCUAUAGUUCUGGCAGCAUUUGCCUCUUUCAGGAUAACCUUACAGAUUUUUUUCUCAUUAUAGUUGCAACUAUUUUGAUGACCAUGACCUAAGUUGAAGGUUAUGCAUCACUUUUGUUAUUUAGAUAGACGAUCAGCUGAGAAAUAAUUCUGGUUCAUUGUCGUCACUGUCUUUCUUGGAUGUAUCAUUAUAGAGACAUCGUUUCAGCUGUUUCAAAUAUUUCCAUGGAUAAUGAAGUCACAUUACGUACAUUGAUAAAAAGUAGAUUACAAACUUGUAUACUCGCUUCCGCUUGUCUAAUCAAAAUGCUUAUAAUCUUUUUCAACCUUAGUUACUAUUGCAGAUUACUCUUGAAAUUGUGAGAGAGGUUGAUUAUAGCAUGGACCCCAAAGAGAAGCUUGUUAAUUCAUCUCACAGAGCAAAUGUAUGUACCAGACCUUUAAGAUGAUAGCGUAUUGCAAUGGUAUGCCAAAAAUGGACGUGAUGUACCUCAAAUGGUAUGCCAAAAUACUUCAGCGUGUUCCCUGGCAUGAGCCACCUAGUGUCUCCGAGCACACACGUGUAGAACCAGUUCUUUGGAUUGGUAUCUUUCUUACCAAAUGUCACACCAGUAUUUGCCAUUUUCCUUUGAGAGCUUUACGUAUAUAGGUACUUUCGGCUUCCACUUUUACAGUUUAACAUACUUGUAGCUGGUGGUGUACUUUGUGUCUUACUUUUGAAUUAUUGUGACAAAAAUGCCCUUUACGAAAAGUCUCGUGACUAGUUGGUAGGUUUCUGGAGUCUUGUGCUUUUAUAGUGACAAUUGAAUUAGUGCAAAUUAAAUUUGAUCCGAUGGAUGUGUGUUUCGUGGUACAUAAGAAGUUUUUUUUAUUUUGUGUUUAACUGUAUAGUAAAUUUUUUUUAGUUAUGCAUAUUAACGUAAUGUAUGGUUGAUUUGGGAAUGAGUUGUUAUGUUAUAAUAGAAGGUGCAGUUAGUAAGAACAUACAUUUGUGGUCAAGAUCAUAGUAUAGGUAUGAUCAUUAAAAAAUUGUGGUCAUUUCUUUGAGAUUCAUAAUUUGUUUUUUAAUAACUUUUUGCUGACCAUUACAAUUCAAUAAUUGUGGUUAUGGAGAAAUUAUUUUAUAAGCAAGUAUGGUUAUAAAAUUUGGUUCAUUGGCUUAUUGAUGUGGUUAGGCAAGUGUGGUUAUAAGCUUUGGAUCUUUUUCUUUUCUUCCAGCUUUCUCACCUCUCGUUUUGAAUCUCACCGUCCAUUAAACAAAAAAAAUCAAAAUAUAGAGGAAGAAAAUCAUAAAUCCACCAUAUUUAUGAUUAAAAGGUAUAUGGCAUCACUAUUCUUCGCUUAACCUUUGGUUUCAUUAUCUUUCAUCUCGAUAUCUACGAGCAAGAAAAAAGUGAAGAAUAGAAGGUGACUCAGAUCUGACUCAACGACGCGGUGAGAGCGAGCGAACUUCACCUAUGAACGUUAAGCUUCCUUGAAAUCUAACGCUUCCACCGUCGAAGAAAACUUUGUCAUCAUCACUUCCAACUGAAUCGCCUCUUUAAAUAUUUUUUUAUUUUUUGGAUUCUUUUCUCGUGAAAUAAAAAUUUGUAUUGAAGAAUAAAAGGAAAAAAAAGAGAAAGGUAAAGCUUCACAAAGAGUUGGGUCACGAUAAAAGUAAGGGAAAUAGAAAGAUAAUUAAUUUCAGGGGUAAUUUAGACAAUAGCACGUACAAAAGUACUUGACAUGGGAAAAGUAUGCUAAAGUGAUAUAGAGUAGAGAUAAAGUAUGUCUAAGUGUAAAUUUUUCUUUUCCUUUUCUCCAUAGCAUAGUGAGAGAAUAUAAUCAUCAACCUAUGCUUUGCCUCCAUGGCUUAUUAAUAUUUAUUAAUACUAGAUCUUUUUUCCGCGCUACGCGCGGAUUAGUGCACUAAAAUAUUUUUAGAUAUUUUGUUUUAUAUUUGAUUUUUUUUUACAUUUCUUUUCUCUCGAAAUCAUAAAAGGUUUAAUAGAAAAAAACAAAAAAAAAUAAUAACUCAACAUAAUUUAUAGUGAUUUUUUGAAUUGGUGAAUUUUACUUUGUUCUUUAUUGUGUUUAUAUUAAACUGUAGAUAUUGCAGGUUUCUAGAUAUGAAAGAUGUUGCCUUGGCUCAUGUUUAAGCGUUAGGGACGCCAAUGACAGAUAAACAACAAUAAGAAAACUAUGUGUAGAUUAUUUCAAGAUUUGUGUAUUGCUGAUGCUGUGAUGCAUGAGUUCGAUCUUUAUCACCGUUCUUACUACUUUAUCAUCGUACAAAGUUCAUAAAGUCAAUCAAUUCAAAAUUUUUUUUCAAAAAAUCAAUCAAGAGUUUAACCAAAAAUUUAACACUGCUUGACUUUGUUGUAGAUAUAGAGCAGGUGAGAUGGAAGGAAUCAUUUAUAAAGUAUGUAAGAAGAAAGAGGAGAAUAUGGGAGAUGAGUUCAUUCCACUGAAAUAAAACCUUAGAGACACUACAUAUGAGAUUGAUUAGCCUCGAGGAAAUGUCUCGUAUGAGAAUAUGAUUAUGUUGAUAUAUGUAAUUAUAUUUUUAUUUAUUUAUUAGUAUUACUGGAUAUAUUUAAGUAAGAUGGCUGAUUGGAAUAUUUUGAUUGGUUACUUUUUGUUAAAUAUUUUGGCUUAUGUUGAAGGUCCUCUUUGAAAGAUGUUUUUAUCUUCUUCUUUUUGUUUUUAUGUGUCAUUUUUGUUGUUUUCUCAUGUUUUAAUUUUCCAUUUUAGAUUUUUAUUAGUAUGAAUAAUAAUUUAUUUUAAAGUAUAAUAGAUCAUUUUUUAUUAUUUGAUUAGUGUUUUUCUACUUAGUUAUAUCAAAAUUUUAGGAAAUUUUUUCUAAACUGCCACAUUCUAAAUACAACUUUUUAUGUUUAUCUUAACCAUAUUUCUCUCACUUUUAAAAAGAUAAAUAAAUACUUCUAAUAAUAUGGUUAAUUAAUCUAAAAUUAGGGUUUAGAUUUGAGGGAUAGUGUUUUGGAAAAUGGGUAUAUGAUUUUAAUAAAUAUAUAAAUAAAUACUUAAUAUUUAAAAAAUGAAAAUAGUUUCAAAAAAUUUCUAAUUUGAAAACAAAAUCGAAAAAAUAAAUUUUGACCAAAAAAGAAAAUUUGAAAAAAAUUAUAAGAAGUUUCAAUUUGAAAAUGUAUGAUUCAAAAAUUAUAAAUUUAUUAUUAAUUAUUUAAAUUUGAAUAAAAAGUUUCAAUUUUAUAUGUUUUUGUGUAUCUUAAUUUUUUAGUUUAACCAUAUUUUAUUUUACUAAAUUUCAUUGUUUUAUUAUUUCCUUUGUUAAAAUAACUAUAUACUAUUAAUUGUCUUCGUCUUAUUUUGUUUUCUUAUCUCUUACUUUUAUUCAAAAUAUAUAAAUACAUUAAUCUUUACACCUGGUGUUUUCAUAUUUUUAUAUUAAUUUUAGAUUAACACAGAAUUAAUAUUUUUGUAUAUGCAGUAUACAAUAUAUUAUUGUUUUUUGCUGUAACUUUACAAUAUAUUAUUGUUAAGUCCGCUUAGGUGAAGAAUCUGUGAUUGUGAUGCUUUUAUCGCUUUUUCACAGCUUUAAAAUUGUUGAUGAAGCACAGUUGUUGCUGUUUCAUUGAUUCCUUCGUUUUUUUCAACUACCUAUAUCUCUAGCUCAUCAUAUAAAUGUGCAGUUCCAGAUUCUAUGAGUGUGCAGCGCCUGCAAGUAUAUCCCCAAAUAUUUUUUAGAUUACAUGCAUUGAAGAUUUUUAUAUUUUAUUGUGAUUAAAGAAAACUGUUUACCAUGUUGCAUACUGAAAGCAAGAUGAGUAGUUUAAGAUAUGAGGUAAUGGUUUAGUACUAAAAGAUCUUCUUUGAGCUCAAAUACUAAGGAAAAAAAGGAAAUAAGGAGAAAAGAGUAACAGAGCACAUCCCCCAUAUAGGAGCUCCUAAAAUCACAUUUUUUGUUCUCUUUAUAAUUUGAGCAUCCUCACCUUCCACCUGAAAUUCAAAAUUUUCCACAGGCUAAGGAACUCACAUUCACAAUGUAAAGAUUUUGUUUAAAAAAAAGAAAGACUAUGUUUUUAGAAGAUCACAAACAUAUUUGCCUUUGUUUUUUUUUUUGCAAACAAUGAGACACUAAAAGAGAGAUAAGCUUGAGAAUCCAAGGCCUUGAUUGUUGUCGAAGAACCAAUAUAAUUUCUAACAAAAAGUCAAAUCUCAGAUGAAACUAACGACUAAUUCUGUCUGAAGAUCUGUUACAAUUUAGGAGAAUGUAAAACACAACUCCCACAAGGCAUAACUUUUUCUUGCAAAUUGUAACCAAAAAUUAUAGCAGCUUCUAACUAAAGAGAAAGUUUGUAACACAAAAGUUAACUUCUUCGAGUCAACCACAACAUUCAACGUCAUAUUUUAAACCAAAUCGUGUCUCCAACUACAUACUACUUAUGUACUGUACACACCCCAAAAAGAUCAUCCAUGUACUUGGCCUUUAUGGUUUUUGCUCUGUUUUUGAAUCUUUUGCAGCAACUUUUCCUUCAUUUGUUCAACAUAAGGAACAAACUAAACUUAUUACCAAAUCGUUAGCAAAAAAACCUUAAGGAAAUAAAAAAGAGAAUAAUAACCAACACUUUCCUGCAACUAAAGCGUGUUGCUGCCGUACGAAUAGAGGUGCGUCUUUUUGAAAGAAAAACAUCAUGUAGCACCUUUCCAUCAUUGAUACUACAUUUAUAUUGUGCAACCUAAAGGGAUGUUUUUCCUAACCCUGGCUUGAAAAACGUUUUUCCUUGAUCAAUCUAGCCAAUUCUCAAAGGGAUAUUACUCUUACCUAUAAUAUAAUCAAAUACAACAACUGAGUGAUUUCAUAUCUACAAAACAAAUUCUACUUGAUUCCAAUUCAGUCUUAAGAAUUCUGCGUUAACACCUUGAUCAAGGCUGGUUCUGGCCACAACUAUUCUCUGCUCUUAGCAUUUUAGCUUCAUUUGUUUCCUUAACAACAAUCUCCAUGGACUUUGAUCAAACUGUGCAUCGUAUCCACCUUCUGUUAGACAUAAGAAAACAAUAUUAGCAACAUUGCACAAAAACAAAUCUACUAAAACCAACUGAAAGAUCGACACAAACCUGUGCGUAGUAGUGAUUGUCACCGAACGUGUCAAGAUUCUUAUUGCAGGUGUCAACAAAGAAAAAAGAACCAGCCUUGUAAGGACCUAAAAAAACUGAUGCAGCAGAGAAUCUAGCAUACAACCCUUCUGCUAUGGAAACUACCUUGGACCAUACACUUGUUACUAUAGAAACAAACCAAAAAUCAUAUUUUAAAUCUAGAUAUUAGAAGAUGGAUAAAUAAAUUGAAGCUUUUAGGUAACCUUACAUACAAACAUUAAACAUAUAGAGAAUAUUGUAAAGAUUCUGAGAAUCAGUAAGCCAUCAAAUACAAAGAUUCUGACCGGGUUCGAGGUAUUGCCCUGAAGUUUCCAAUUGCUUCCGUACAAACGUAUCUGUAAAACAUGGCCAGAAAAUAUCAUAAGGUAUAUGGACGCAGACAUUAAAAAGAUGUGUCAAGAAUUUCAGACCUAUAUCAAGGAUAUGAUCAGGACCGGAGAGAUAAUGGCUACUACAAUGAUUUUGUUCUUUCACGUUGAGUAGGCUUGACUGUCUCGGGGGAGAGGAAGGCUUCUCAUGGGAUUAGGGUUAGACAGAACUAUGACUCCUAUAAAUACAAAAUAUGAGAAGAAACCGAACCAGUUUUGUGUGUGCGAUAAAUGCUUACGUUGGGAGGAGGAAGCUGAAGAAACUAAGAACGUGAACUGAUGAGAUGAUGUGGCUUGUGAUUAUAGUUAUUGAGAGUUGACAUGGCACAAACUCAUAUUCUAAGUGGCUGAUUUAAUUUGCUGAGGUGGAUAGGCUCAAUGGAGCUCAUAUCCCCCUUUUAGUAUAGUAUAGAUUAUGAUUGUUCAUUUCGCUCUACCUCUUCCCAUAUCAAACGUAAACAAGAGAGCACUCAACAGAGCAAAAGCAUAUAUCUGGGGACCCAAGCACCUUGAGGUAGAUAGGGUACAUGCAACGAGACUUGCACCGAAUGCAAAAUGGGCGAGUUACACUAUUAUUCAGCACCACCUCAUGCGGUAUGCCCAACAACUUUGGUACGCUUCUUGGCAUGAGUCCUGCAGUGUCUCCGAGCACACAUUUUGUAUGCAAACUAGCCAAGUGAUCUUUACACGUGUAGAACCAUUUCUUUGGAUCGGUUUCUCUCUCACAGAUGUCGCACCAGUAUUUACCACUUGCCUCUUCUUCUUCCACAUAGCAUAGUGAGAGAGGAUGAUCAUCUACUCUGUGCUUUACCACUUGUGGUAGAGUGGCACAUUUGAAGCAUAUUACAAAUCCACAAUCAUCUUCAAUGCACUUGAGUAGACGAUAUUCCUUAUUGUUGCAACCAUUGCAUAUUCCCGUCUCUUCAAUGGAAUUGUCAGAUAAUACGAAAGUGUAAUAUAAGGGAUGGUGGUGAUGACGUUCAAAUGGCUCAGAAACUGAACCGCACAAGACAUCCAACUUCGUAUACCGAUCCUUGUAUAUGAAUCCAUUGCACAUUCGACUGCAAGCAUAACAUCUGAAGGUAUCUAGCUCCUUGUUUGUAAAUAAAGUGAGCCGUUCAUUGUGUAACACAUGCCUUUUCUUUUAGGACAUUUAGCACAGCACUGAUGGAGAGAAAAAUCACAAUCCAUACAUCCAUAAAAGGAUUGGAGACCAAUGGGAUGGGUGCAUGCGCUGCAUCGUUUGGUAUCCUCAUACAAAACACCAUUCUCAUUGAAUCUGAGGUAAUGCUCUUUGUGGCUGAAAUGUUGUAUUGUGUUGUCGUCUAUCACCACAUAUGGUUCUAUAUCUUCUUCUUCUUCAGGUACUCCUUCAAGCUCUUUCAUGUUCCAAACAUCAUAUCUGGUAGCACAUUUAGAAUGAACAACAUAGUUAGGGCACGUCUGACAAGAAAAUCCUCCACAAGUCCAGUCCACCUUCUUGUGACAAACUUCGCAUACAGAAUUCAUAGCACCAUCACCAAGAAGCAAAGUACGAGAAACACGGUGAUCAUGUCGAUUGAUGUUAAUGACACGAGGAAGACCAAGACAGCCUUGAUGGAUCAUGAAAUCACAUUGAACACACAUGUAAGGGCUUCGAUCUCCCUUGAGCCCACAAGCAUUACAUGUGAAUGAAAGCAGUCUUGGAAGAAGCUUGAGUUGGUGAUCAUGAGCUUUCAAGUUCAAAAGAGAUUGUGGUGGCGGAUUCACAACACAACGCCAAUCCAAGGUGAAGUUACAAGAAGAACAAUGAUAAAACAAUUCUUUAUCAACCUUUCUUCCGCAAAGACGACAUUUACCAUCAGAAUAGUCAGGUGGUGGACCCUUGAAUAGCUUAAGAGGAUGCAAGGAGUGAUAAGGGUGGUUUACCUCUGUUGAGUGCUCUAGUGCUGCUGGGUGCCAUACACAUUCCACAUGAAAGGCUACAGCAUCACAUUCAUUACAUUGGUAAUAAAAUCCACAAGAAAAUCCUGCAGCAUAUGCAGAAGUCUUCCCGCAUUUUGCAGAACAGUGGAAGGCGCUCAGUUCCUUGACAAAUGUGAGCUUGUGGGGAUGCAUCUCAAAAUUUUCAAUAAUAUCUGGUGGUGGGUACUUGGCACAGUGUAGAUCCAUGUGGAAGUCACACAUCUCGCAACGAUAGGAUAGAUUUUGGAUUUUACUAUCACAUAUAUAGCAUACGUGAUCUUCUCGUUUUUCUUGAAGCCGGAGAGUGUGAUCGGGGUGAGAUGGGUGGUCGCUGAUGAAUUCAGACAGCUCGUCGCCACACUUCUUGUGCACGAAGAAAUCACAGAGUUUACAAUAGUAGCCAUCACUCUGAGGUUCAAAGCAAUCACAGCAAUCGCCUUUCCUCAUAUGAUGAUCAUUCCAAGGCGUCAUAGGAUGCUCGUGAAACAAUGGUAACAACACUCCUCCCUCAGAUUCCAUUUUGCUCUCUAGUAUACUAAAGAAGAUGAAGAAGAAGAAGGAAAGAUUGAAUAAUGGAGAUAGAUCUCUUGAAUAAUGGUGUGGUGUGUUUUCUCAAAGCUAUAUCUCUUUCUCUGGCCACUCAAACAUUAUCCCCUCUCAAGUUUCUUUGUUUUCAUAUUUCGAUAAAGAAAAGGUUCCCUAUGCUUAAGGUGGGGUUGUCAGCUUUGUUUUCUCUUUUACUUUUCUGGUUUUCUUUUGCUUUUUCUCCAAAUGCGUAGUAUUGUCACUUAUCAGCUGCAUAACCGUAACGAAGAAAGAUGGUGGACGCUCAAGAAGCUAUAGUUCUGGCAGCAUUUGCCUCUUUCAGGAUAGCCUUACAGAUUUUUUUCUCAUUAUAGUUGCAACUAUUUUGAUGACCAUGACCUAAGUUGAAGGUUAUGCAUCACUUUUGUUAUUUAGAUAGACGAUCAGCUGAGAAAUAAUUCUGGUUCAUUGUCGUCACUGUCUUUCUUGGAUGUAUCAUUAUAGAGACAUCGUUUCAGCUGUUUAAAAUCUUUCCUCGAGCAUGUUCUGAUUCAUUGAGUCCAGAGUUUCAAACCCGGGAUAAUAUAUGAAACAUAUCAAUCAGACUUUUUUUUAUAACAAACCUUUACCAAGCAUUUUACAUGUAAGACUGAGGGUUACUGUGCUCUUCGUUCUCAAGGGAAGAUAUUGCAGAAAACGUAGAGCUGAAAACAUUAGGAGAAACAAUAGUCUUGGAAGGAAAAACAGUCUCCAUUGAUAAAAAGUAGAUGAACACGGUGAUUGAUGUUAAUGACCCGUGGAAGGCCAAGACAGUCUUGAUGAAUCAUGAAACCACAUGGAACACAUAUGUAAGGCUUUGAUCUCCCUUGAGGCCACAAGCAUUACAUGUAAAAAAAAAAUCGAGUCUUGGAAGAAGAGUGAGCUGGUGAUCAUGAGUGGGGGGUUCAAAACAAUUCUAAGGCAAAGACGACAUGUUCCAUCAAAACACAGGCAUAUCCAAGGUGAAGUUACAAGAAUAACAAUGAUAAAAACAAUUCUUUAUCAAUCUCUCUUGUGUUUGGAGUUUGAUUUGGCUUUGAUGGCGACGAGGAACCGAACGACGGUGUACAGGAAACACAGAGACGCGUGCUCCUCUGUCUGAUUCGUUCGGUGGUCCGGUGAUCGAAAUGGUUAGUGUUUGAUCCAAAAAUGGUGUUUAUCUUUGUGAUGUUUGUUGGAAUCAAUCAAAUAAAGAAUCUAAAGAUAAAAGCUUAGAUUCUUGAGGUUUAGGAGAAAUCUUAAAAGAAUCAAAUGAGAAAUGAACAUCAAAAGAGUUUAUUGAUUUAAGAUUGUAUUACAUGUAGGAUUACAAGUGUAAAUAAAUCUAAUAAUUCAUAAACCCUUUGUAAGAAGUGUUCUAAGUCUAAAAUGAAGAAGAAGACCCCCCGUCAUAAGGAGAUAAUUCCUUAUUUAUAGAAGAAAGAUGACUAGAGUUUCAUAGUAAAAUGGGUCUAAUUUAUUGUCUAAUGGGCCUUGAGGUAGAAUGUAAAUCUACCCCCAACAAUAAGUCCCCCCAAGUUCGUAGAGAGAGAUGAAGUCGAUCUCUGUGAAUUUUACGAAUAGGGUUUAUUAGACAAUAAACUAGACACAUUCAUGCCUAUGAUGGUUUAGGCGAGUUUACUUCGAACUUGUGCCUAGUAAAAGGCAAGUUUGCUUUAAACUCGUGCUUAGUGAAAGACGAGUUUACUUGACUCAUGCUGAGACAGAGGCGAAUUUACUGAGAACUCGUGCCUAGUAGUAGGAGAGUUUCUGUAAACUCAUGCCUUGUCAAAGAUGAGUUUUUGUAAACUCGUGUCUAACAAUAAGUGAGUCUAAUGCAAAUUUGUGCCUAAUAUAAAGCAAGUUGAAUUUAAACUCGUGCCUAGUAAAAAUAAGUUUACCGAACUUUGCCGACCCGAAGUCUCGUGUUGAGAUCGUGUGUGCCGAGCAAGUUAUUGGCUUGUGUGUUCGUCAGGCAUGAUGACGUAAGAAAGCGCCGGCUUGUGCUGAUUCAGACAAGUUUGUAGCUGAGAGAUCGCCAUUCCAAGCAUGAGGACAUGACAGUAGCACUCACUUGUUGAUUCUCUUUGGCUCAACGAUCUAAUCAACUCUGGUUCACAACAAAAAGCAUGAUCAGAUCAAGGUUAACCAAAAGAACCAGCCAAGUUUUGUAUAAUUGAUAAGCAAGCGAUAGUUUAACUUGUGUUAAUGCUCGGCUAUUGCAUAUGAUGUUAGUAAUUUAUCAAUUACUAAUCAUUAUGCACAGGUUGCAAACAACAAAUCAAUCAACCGUAAUUAUCUCAUAAAGGUUAUAAGAUACUUAUCUUUGAGGAUGAGCCUUGUUUGUAACUUGACAAAGAAGUUAUUGUGGACGUGAUGACAUUUUGUGCUGACGAUCUCAAUGGAUCGCUCUUAUCAGAGCUGAGAUGACGGUGAACUCAAAGCUGAUGACUUUAUCUUUGUUCCUCACUGUUGAGAGCUCGUUUCCUUUUGCAACCUCUUCUUCGUAUUUUUUUUUUGAGAUGACAAACUCGUAUGCCGGUUCAUGUUCAAAGCGGAGGUUAAGCAUGAAGCGUCGAGAGAGUACCACAGGCCUAGUGAGGAAGAUAACUUAGGAGUGUGCAUGAGCUUGAGCCUCUUGAUCCUUGAACUUGAGCUCGAGCUUCUUGAUGGCUGACGUGCGUGCAUGACCUUUAGCCUCGUGACCGUCGAGCAAGUGAUGGAGCUUUAGGCCCGCAAGAAGCUUCGUUGAUGGAGCUUUGAAGACGUCAUGGUGAUGAAGCCAUAAGAAACCGGGUGCCGAGAUCACAUGAUCACCUCUGUUUCUCGGCGGUGUACCGGACGAGCUUGAACUUACAUUGUUGUUUGGCGUUGACUUGUGCCUAGUAAAUCACAUGACUGUUGCUCGGCGUUAACCCGCACGAUCUCAAGGCUUCUGUCGCAACAAGAGCAGUCAUCGACGAGGUGAGACGAGAUGGACCUUGAACGGAGGCACGCAAACGAGGCCUUGAAGAGCUUGCGGUAAUGACGUGCUUGUCUAGAGAGCUUUCUUGAAGAAGCAAGACCUUGUUGGAGAGGUUGUCAUCGACAUGAUCAUAACCAAUUGAACCUUCUCCUCGUCAUGAAGGAGCUCUCCUCCUAUUCUCACGCUCAUGCCAAGGUUAAAGCCUUUGUCGGGUAGAAAGAUGCGACCGAUUCCCUUUGCUGUGUGAAAGCAAAGGCCAGAGCUGUCCUUGGGCUUCUUGGGAUACAGCGAUCUCGGGAUGAAGAAGAGACAGCACUUGCUACAGCGGUCUCGUCUUAAAGAUGAGGCAAGAACUUCCUGUCACUCGGUUUCGUCUUUAACGAAGACGAGGAGCUUGUACUAUCCCGUCAGUGUGGCGAGCUUGUGUGAUGCAGUGAUCAAGCUCGUUUAUCAGACGAGAGCCAGAAAUGAGCAGGGUCUGUAAGCUUCCGAGCUGACUGGUAUGGCCUAGCCCUUAGUUCACCGUGAAAUUACGCUCCAUUCUAUUAAACAAAGACAUUAGAAGUUGAAAAUAAUUCGUAAGAAACUAUUUAAUAAUGCUUUGGAGAGUUAUGCAAGGUAGCUUGUCAAUUAUCUAUGGGAACAAUCGUUCAAAGUAUACAAUAAUUUAUAACAUUGACUCAGCGAAUGAAUAAUUGAUAAAUAAUUAAUCAAGAAUCCACGACUUGCACAAAGUGUGAAGUAUUAUUUAGUGGUAAUGGAUAAUUGACCAAAUAUUGAAAAGGAGACUUAUCUUUUUUUUUUUGUGUAGGCAAUUUUGAUGGAGAUAUCUUGUGCCAGUCUGGAGGGAUUUCGAACAGGAAGGUAUCUUGUAGUUACCAGGUCCACAAGUGAGUAGAUUCCCUGGUUUAAUCCAUUUAUGAGAUGCAUCUCCCCAUUUCACUUCUUCUAGAGCUACCCAACCUAACCCUUGUACGAAUGCUCCUUCUAUCUGCAAAACAUGUUCAGGUUUCAGACACAAACGCAACACUCUUGUCUUAAUGAUUUCAAGUGGUUUUGUUUCAAGUACUUGUCCAAUAUCUAUGGCUGGGUUAAGAGAAUAUCCCAGGUCCAACUUUAUAUCGACCGUUUUUGUGUGAAAGUCACCGGUUAAUGUAUCGAUCUCAACUUCCGCAAAUGCAGCUCCGUAGGUGUAAUAUCUGAAUGGGUUUCCUUUACCGGAGAUCCAGUCAAAGCCAACAUCGGGAACAAUGUAAAAGCCAUGAGCAGAGAGGUCUAUUCGUUGAAAAUAGCAUGCACUUGCCAGCUACAUACCAAUCAAAACAAAGCAGGUUAAGAGAGUUUUAUUCAUCAAAAGGCAAAGAAUGUUUCAUUGAGUUACCUCAGCCAAGGAGUUGCCACUGAGCUUAGUGGCAAGAGGCUCCAUUCGUGCUUUAAUCUGCUCACACCGUACAUGUCAGAGCUCAGAGAAGCAGCGGUUGGUGACGCAUUUGGAACAUAGUUACAUCUUAUUUCUUAACACUUUAUAUUAUAAAUAUUACCUUGUCGGUGCUCGUCUCUGAUACAAAAACGGAACUAAGGGGAAUGUUAAAGGCAUAAGCAGCAACUUGAGAAACCUUUGUAUGCAAUCCUUGACCCAUCUCUACACCUCUAUGUGUCACCAAAACAGUACCGUCUGUGUACACAUACACAAGAGCACCUGCCUAACACCCAAAAAUUAAAAUGGAUAUAAGUAACAAAAACUCUGUUUCUUGCUUCUCAAGAAAUAGUAUUGCAAGAUAGACUUACCUGGUUCAUGAACGUUUUGGUAAAUGAUACGCCAAACUUUGUGGGAACCAUAGCCACACCACGCUUUUUCCACCGGUUGUGGCUAUUAAACUCGUCGACAUCUCUACGAGCCUUUAGAAAGUUGCAAGACACUUUCAGCUCCUUCCAGAGCUGAUGCAGUGUGCAAUGCUGAAUACACUGAGAGUAAUGUGUGAUAGAGCCUUCCACUUGAAAGUUCAUCUCCUAAAGUAACACCCAAGAAAGCAUCAAAACAUGAGAAAUAAUUCCUAUGAACUUUCAGGAACAUUAUGAUUUCUUCAGGGCUUCUAUUAAGUUCAGCUGCGAUUCUCUGGAUCCAGUUUUCGGUUAUAAGCAUGCCUUGCGGACCUCCAAAGCCUCGGAAAGCAGUGUUGCUAGGAUAGUUAGUAAAGCAAACGUUCCUCUGAUCCUCACAUGUGGAUCUCAUAGACAUUAUCAGAGUUAAACAUUGCAANNNNNNNNNNNNNNNNNNNNNNNNNNNNNNNNNNNNNNNNNNNNNNNNNNNNNNNNNNNNNNNNNNNNNNNNNNNNNNNNNNNNNNNNNNNNNNNNNNNNCACUUGAGUAGACGAUAUUCCUUAUUGUUGCAACCAUUGCAUAUUCCCCCGUCUCUUCAAUGGAAUUGUCAGAUAAUACGAAAGUGGUAAUAUAAGGGAUGGGGGUGAUGACGUUCAAAUGGGCUCAGAAACUGAACCGCACAAGACAUCCAACUUCGUAUACCGAUCCUUGUAUAUGAAUCCAUUGCACAUUCGACUGCAAGCAUAAAUCCGAAGGUAUCUAGCUCCUUGUUUGUAAAUAAGUGAGCCGUUCAUUGUGUAACACAUGCCUUUUCUUUUUAGGACAUUUAGCACAGCACUGAUGGAGAGAAAAAUCACAAUCCAACAUCCAUAAAAGGAUUGGAGACCAAUGGGAUGGGUGCAUGCGCUGCAUCGUUUUGGUAUCCCCUCAUACAAAACACCAUUCUCAUUGAAUCUGAGUAAUGCUCUUUGUGGCUGAAAUGUUGUAUUGUGUUGUCGUCUAUCACCACAUAUGGUUCUAUAUCUUCUUCUUCUUCAGGUACUCCUUCAAGCUCUUCAUGUUCCAAACAUCAUAUCUGGUAGCACAUUUAGAAUGAACAACAUAGUUAGGGCACGUCUGACAAGAAAUCCUCCACAAGUCCAGUCCCCUUCUUGUGACAAACUUCGCAUACGAGAAUUCAUAGCACCAUCACCAAGAAGCAAAGUACGAGAAACACGGUGAUCAUGUCGAUUGAUGUUAAUGACACGAGGAAGACCAAGACAGCCUUGAUGGAUCAUGAAAUCACAUUGAACACACAUGUAAGGGCUUCGAUCUCCCUUGAGCCCACAAGCAUUACAUGUGAAUGAAAGCAUCUUGGAAGAAGCUUGAGUUGGUGAUCAUGAGCUUUCAAGUUCAAAAGAGAUUGUGGUGGCGGAUUCACAACACAACGCCAAUCAAGGUGAAGUUACAAGAAAAAAAUGAUAAAACAAUUCUUUAUCAACCUUUCUUCCGCAAAGACGACAUUUACCAUCAGAAUAGUCAGGUGGUGGACCCUUGAAUAGCUUAAGAGGAUGCAAGAGUGAUAAGGGUGGUUUACCUCUGUUGAGUGCUCUAGUGCUGCUGGGUGCCAUACACAUUCCACAUGAAAGGCUACAGCAUCACAUUCAUUACAUUGGUAAUAAAAUCCACAAGAAAUCCUGCAGCAUAUGCAGAAGUCUUCCCGCAUUUUGCAGAACAGUGGAAGGCGCUCAGUUCCUUGACAAAUGUGAGCUUGUGGGGAUGCAUCUCAAAAUUUUCAAUAAUAUCUGGUGGUGGGUACUUGGCACAGUGUAGAUCCAUGUGGAAGUCACACAUCUCGCAACGAUAGGAUAGAUUUUGGAUUUUACUAUCACAUAUAUAGCAUACGUGAUCUUCUCGUUUUUCUUGAAGCCGGAGAGUGUGAUCGGGGUGAGAUGGGUGGUCGCUGAUGAAUUCAGACAGCUCGUCGCCACACUUCUUGUGCACGAAGAAAUCACAGAGUUUACAAUAGUAGCCAUCACUCUGAGGUUCAAAGCAAUCACAGCAAUCGCCUUUCCUCAUAUGAUGAUCAUUCCAAGGCGUCAUAGGAUGCUCGUGAAACAAUGGUAACAACACUCCUCCCUCAGAUUCCAUUUUGCUCUCUAGUAUACUAAAGAAGAUGAAGAAGAAGAAGGAAAGAUUGAAUAAGGGAGAUAGAUUCCUUGAAUAAUGGUGUGGUGUGUUUUCUCAAAGCUAUAUCUCUUCUCUCUGGCCACUCAAACUUAUCCCCUCUCAAGUUUCUUCUUUGUUUUCAUAUUUCGAUAAAGAAAAGGUUCCCUAUGCUUAAGUGGGGUUGUCAGCUUUGUUUUCUCUUUUACUUUUCUGGUUUUCUUUUUGCUUUUUCUCCAAAUGCGUAGUAUUGUCACUUAUCAGCUGCAUAACCGUAACGAAGAAAGAUGGUGGACGCUCAAGAAGCUAUAGUUCUGGCAGCAUUUGCCUCUUUCAGGAUAGCCUUGAUUUUUUUUCAUUAUAGUUGCAACUAUUUUGAUGACCAUGACCUAAGUUGAAGGUUAUGCAUCACUUUUGUUAUUUAGAUAGACGAUCAGCUGAGAAAUAAUUCUGGUUCAUUGUCGUCACUGUCUUUCUUGGAUAUAUCAUUAUAGAGACAUCGUUUCAGCUGUUUAAAAUCUUUCCUCGAGCAUGUUCUGAUUCAUUGAGUCCAGAGUUUCAAACCCGGGAUAAUAUAUGAAACAUAUCAAUCAGACUUUUUUUUAUAACAAACCUUUACCAAGCAUUUUACAUGUAAGACUGAGGGUUACUGUGCUCUUCGUUCUCAAGGGAAGAUAUUGCAGAAAACGUAGAGCUGAAAACAUUAGGAGAAACAAUAGUCUUGGAAGGAAAAACAGUCUCCAUUGAUAAAAAGUAGAUGAACACGGUGAUUGAUGUUAAUGACCCGUGGAAGGCCAAGACAGUCUUGAUGAAUCAUGAAACCACAUGGAACACAUAUGUAAGGGCUUUGAUCUCCCUUGAGGCCACAAGCAUUACAUGUAAAAAAAAAUCGAGUCUUGGAAGAAGAGUGAGCUGGUGAUCAUGAGUGGGGGGGUUCAAAACAAUUCUAAGGCAAAGACGACAUGUUCCAUCAAACACAAGGCAUAUCCAAGGUGAAGUUACAAGAAUAACAAUGAUAAAACAAUUCUUUAUCAAUCUCUCUUGUGUUUGGAGUUUGAUUUGGCUUUGAUGGCGACGAGGAACCGAACGACGGUGUACAGGAAACACAGAGACGCGUGCUCCUCUGUCUGAUUCGUUCGGUGGUCCGGUGAUCGAAAAUGGUUAGUGUUUGAUCCAAAAAUGGUGUUUAUCUUUGUGAUGUUUGUUGGAAUCAAUCAAAUAAAGAAUCUAAAGAUAAAAGCUUAGAUUCUUGAGGUUUAGGAGAAAUCUUAAAAGAAUCAAAUGAGAAAUGAACAUCAAAAGAGUUUAUUGAUUUAAGAUUGUAUUACAUGUAGGAUUACAAGUGUAAAUAAAUCUAAUAAUUCAUAAACCCUUUGUAAGAAGUGUUCUAAGUCUAAAAUGAAGAAGACCCCCCGUCUAAUAAGGAGAUAAUUCCUUAUUUAUAGAAGAAAGAUGACUAGAGUUUCAUAGUAAAAUGGGUCUAAUUUAUUGUCUAAUGGGCCUUGAGGUAGAAUGUAAAUCUACCCCCAACAAUAAGUCCCCCCAAGUUCGUAGAGAGAGAUGAAGUCGAUCUCUGUGAAUUUUACGAAUAGGGUUUAUUAGACAUAAACUAGACAAUUCAUGCCUAUGAUGGUUUAGGCGAGUUUACUUCGAACUUGUGCCUAGUAAAAGGCAAGUUUGCUUUAAACUCGUGCUUAGUGAAAGACGAGUUUACUUGACUCAUGCUGAGACAGAGGCGAAUUUACUGAGAACUCGUGCCUAGUAGUAGGAGAGUUUCUGUAAACUCAUGCCUUGUCAAAGAUGAGUUUUUGUAACUCGUGUCUAACAAUAAGUGAGUCUAAUGCAAUUUGUGCCUAAUAUAAAGCAAGUUGAAUUUAAACUCGUGCCUAGUAAAAAUAAGUUUACCGAACUUUGCCGACCCGAAGUCUCGUGUUGAGAUCGUGUGUGCCGAGCAAGUUAUUGGCUUGUGUGUUCGUCAGGCAUGAUGACGUAAGAAAGCGCCGGCUUGUGCUGAUUCAGACAAGUUUGUAGCUGAGAGAUCGCCAUUCCAAGCAUGAGGACAUGACAGUAGCACUCACUUGUUGAUUCUCUUUGGCUCAACGAUCUAAUCAACUCUGGUUCACAACAAAAAGCAUGAUCAGAUCAAGGUUAACCAAAAGAACCAGCCAAGUUUUGUAUAAUUGAUAAGCAAGCGAUAGUUUAACUUGUGUUAAUGCUCGGCUAUUGCAUAUGAUGUUAGUAAUUUAUCAAUUACUAAUCAUUAUGCACAGGUUGCAAACAACAAAUCAAUCAACCGUAAUUAUCUCAUAAAGGUUAUAAGAUACUUAUCUUUGAGGAUGAGCCUUGUUUGUAACUUGACAAAGAAGUUAUUGUGGACGUGAUGACAUUUUGUGCUGACGAUCUCAAUGGAUCGCUCUUAUCAGAGCUGAGAUGACGGUGAACUCAAAGCUGAUGACUUUAUCUUUGUUCCUCACUGUUGAGAGCUCGUUUCCUUUUGCAACCUCUUCUUCGUAUUUUUUUUUUUGAGAUGACAAACUCGUAUGCCGUUCAUGUUCAAAGCGGAGGUUAAGCAUGAAGCGUCGAGAGAGUACCACAGGCCUAGUGAGGAAGAUAACUUAGGGAGUGUGCAUGAGCUUGAGCCUCUUGAUCCUUGAACUUGAGCUCGAGCUUCUUGAUGGCUGACGUGCGUGCAUGACCUUUAGCCUCGUGACCGUCGAGCAAGUGAUGGAGCUUUAGGCCCGCAAGAAGCUUCGUUGAUGGAGCUUUGAAGACGUCAUGGUGAUGAAGCCAUAAGAAACCGGGUGCCGAGAUCACAUGAUCACCUCUGUUUCUCGGCGGUGUACCGGACGAGCUUGAACUUACAUUGUUGUUUGGCGUUGACUUGUGCCUAGUAAAUCACAUGACUGUUGCUCGGCGUUAACCCGCACGAUCUCAAGGCUUCUGUCGCAACAAGAGCAGUCAUCGACGAGGUGAGACGAGAUGGACCUUGAACGGAGGCACGCAAACGAGGCCUUGAAGAGCUUGCCGGUAAUGACGUGCUUGUCUAGAGAGCUUUCUUGAAGAAGCAAGACCUUGUUGGAGAGGUUGUCAUCGACAUGAUCAUAACCAAUUGAACCUUCUCCUCGUCAUGAAGGAGCUCUCCUCCUAUUCUCACGCUCAUGCCAAGGUUAAAGCCUUGUCGGGUAGAAAGAUGCGACCGAUUCCCUUGCUGUGUGAAAGCAAAGGCCAGAGCUGUCCUUGGGCUUCUUGGGAUACAGCGAUCUCGGGAUGAAGAAGAGACAGCACUUGCUACACGGUCUCGUCUUAAAGAUGAGGCAAGAACUUCCUGUCACUCGGUUUCGUCUUUAACGAAGACGAGGAGCUUGUACUAUCCCGUCAGUGGGCGAGCUUGUGUGAUGCAGUGAUCAAGCUCGUUUAUCAGACGAGAGCCAGAAAUGAGCAGGGUCUGUAAGCUUCCGAGCUGACUGGUAUGGCCUAGCCCUAGUUCACCGUAAAUUACGCUCCAUUCUAUUAAAACAAAGACAUUAGAAGUUGAAAUAAUUCGUAAGAAACUAUUUAAUAAUGCUUUGGAGAGUUAUGCAAGGUAGCUUGUCAAUUAUCUAUGGGAACAAUCGUUCAAAGUAUACAAUAAUUUAUAACAUUGACUCAGCGAAUGAAUAAUUGAUAAAUAAUUAAUCAAGAAUCCACGACUUGCACAAAGUGUGAAGUAUUAUUUAGUGGUAAUGGAUAAUUGACCAAAAUAUUGAAAAGGAGACUUAUCUUUUUUUUUUGUGUAGGCAAUUUUGAUGGAGAUAUCUUGUGCCAGUCUGGAGGGAUUUCGAACAGAAGGUAUCUUGUAGUUACCAGGUCCACAAGUGAGUAGAUUCCCUGGUUUAAUCCAUUUAUGAGAUGCAUCUCCCCAUUUCACUUCUUCUAGAGCUACCCAUCCUAACCCUUGUACGAAUGCUCCUUCUAUCUGCAAAACAUGUUCAGGUUUCAGACACAAACGCAACACUCUUGUCUUAAUGAUUUCAAGUGGUUUUGUUUCAAGUACUUGUCCAAUAUCUAUGGCUGGGUUAAGAGAAUAUCCCAGGUCCAACUUUAUAUCGACCGUUUUUGUGUGAAAGUCACCGGUUAAUGUAUCGAUCUCAACUUCCGCAAAUGCAGCUCCGUAGGUGUAAUAUCUGAAUGGGUUUCCUUUACCGGAGAUCCAGUCAAAGCCAAUCGGGAACAAUGUAAAAGCCAUGAGCAGAGAGGUCUAUUCGUUGAAAAUAGCAUGCACUUGCCAGCUACAUACCAAUCAAAACAAAGCAGGUUAAGAGAGUUUUAUUCAUCAAAAGGCAAAGAAUGUUUCAUUGAGUUACCUCAGCAAAGGAGUUGCCACUGAGCUUAGUGGCAAGAGGCUCCAUUCGUGCUUUAAUCUGCUCACAAGCGUCCAAAAACCGCACACCGUACAUGCAGAGCUCAGAGAACAGCGGUUGGUGACGCAUUUGGAACCUAUCAAAAUAUAGAGCAACGAACAGUUUUGUGCCUGAAACAUAGUUACAUAUUAUUUCUUAACACUUUAUAUUAUAAUAUUACCUUGUCGGUGCUCGUUCUGAUACAAAAACGGAACUAAGGGGAAUGUUAAAGGCAAAAGCAGCAACUUGGGCAACCUUCGUAUGCAAUCCUUGACCCAUCUCUACACCUCCAUGUGUCACCAAAACAGUGCCGUCUGUGUACACAUGAACAAGAGCACCUGCCUAACACCCAAAAUAAAAAUGGAUAAGUAACAAAAACUCUCUGUUUCUUGCUUCGCAAGAAAUGGUAGUGCAAAGUGGACUGUUUCUUACCUGGUUCAUGAACUUUUUGGUAAAUGAAACGCCAACUUUGUAGGAACCAUAGCCACACCACGCUUUUUCCACCGGUUGUGGCUAUUAAAAUCGUCGACUUCUCUACGAGCCUUUAGAAAGUUGCAAGACACUUUCAGCUCCUUCCAGAGCUGAUGCAGUGUGCAAUGCGAAUACACUGAGAGUAAUGUGUGAUAGAGCCUUCCACUUGAAAGUUCAUCUCCUAAAUUGACACGCAAGAAAACAUCAAAACAUGAAAAAAAUUCUAUGAACUUUCAGGAACAUUAUGAUUUCUUCAACUCACUUUGAUUUCUUCAGGGCUUCUAUCCAGUUCAGCUGCGAUUCUCUGGACCAGUUUUCGGUUAUAAGCAUGCCUUGCGGACCUCCAAAGCCUCGGAAAGCAGUGUUGCUAGGAUAGUUAGUAAAGCAAACGUUCCCUCUGAUCCUCACAUGUGGGAUCUCAUAGACAGUAUCAGAGUUAAACAUGGCAAUCUCAAGAACAGCUUGGGAAAGAUCCAAAGAGUUUCCACCAUUGUUGUAGACUUCAAGGUCAUACGCCAAUACUUUCCACCAUUAGUAAACCCAACCUGUAAAUAGUAUCGGAAUAACAAUUAAUAAGAAAACGCUUUAUCUAAUAACCACAGAGGAUGAUGAUACCUCGUUGCCACCAUCACUUGUCCAGACCAAACUACCAUGGGCUCCAUGUAAAAGUGUUCCUGGCUGCCCAUUUGAACCUCUCCAUUUAUUAUCCUAUCUCACUGACCUGACUGAAAGCAUAGCUCUACAUCUCCUUUCCUUAGCAUUUUCUCUGUGUUUGGGUGGAAACUUUUAGCAGCAAUAGCCUCCUUGAUUGAUAAUAUUGCUGGUAAUAGCAUUUUCAUGUGUAUCCGCAACAAACCACACCAAUGACCUGAAAAAAUCCAGACACAGUUUAGCGAUAAUCUAAGAAAUAAAAAGUUUCAUUCAAGUCUUCUACUUGUCCCACACAUGUGACCACAUCUGUAGCAAAUAAUUCUUCAUCAGCUACCACAGGUCCAGUCUUAUUAUCUGCUGGACCGUAUUUGGCAAGAAACAUACCAGCAAAACCACGUGAAGAUUUGGAGGCACUGGGGCAUCAGUAUAUUUCUGCUUCCCCUGUGACCUACAUGAAAGUUCAAGAGUGUUGAGAGUUGAGACAUUGUGUUAUGCUUUGAUUUCACGAUUUCCUUCUAUAAUAGUUUACUGAAAAAUGCUUUGAUAAGCAAUCAUUUUCUACCCAAGAGAAGAGAGAUACAUCUUUCUUCCAUGUUUGAAUAGGCAGAGAUAACACAAAGAAUGGUGAUAACAACACUCGGUUACACUAUGAUUCACAGCGAUUGUUCUUUAAAUCCUCAAGAAUCUGUUACCUAUAAAUUUAUAAGAAAACAGCUCACCUUUUUAAAAUAAAAUAAAAUAAGUUCGAUAGAGAUCAUCAAAUUCAUAAUGGAAGUGAACUUGUCCAAGGAAGAAUAUAAGAAACUUGAACGAAUAAAACAUCUUUCCUCAUCAACGAAACCAAUAUGUGCAAGAAACGGAGCAAAGGUAUGUCUCUGAGGUUCUUCCAAGCAACUUGAAGUAGAUAGGGUACUUGCAACGAUCCUUACACCGCCCCUUGCAAAACGGACGAGUUACACUAUCAUUGAGCCCCACCUGACACGAUUUGCCCCAAAUCUUUGCUAAACUUCUUGGCAUGAGCCCUGUCGAGUCUCCGAGCACACAACUUGUAUGCAAACUAGCCCGCUGAUCUUUACAAGUGUAGAACCAUUCCUUUGAAUCGGUUUCUUUCUCGCAGAUGUCACACCAAUAUUUACCACUUGCCUCCUCUUCUUCGCCAUAGCACAGUGAGAGAGGAUGAUCGUCUACUCUAUUCUUCACCACUUGUGGUAGAGUGGCGCAUUUGAAUCCCAAUGCAAAUCCACAAUCACCUUCAAUGCACCUGAGGACAUGUGAUUCCUUCUGUUGCAACCAUUGCAUAUUUCUACUUCUUCUGUUGGAAUGUAAUAUAAGGGAUGUUGGGGAUGACUUGGAUGGAAAAAUGGCUCAGAAAUUGAACCGCACAAGACAUCAAAAUCCUUAUCUUCAUCCUUGUACAUGAAACCAUUGGACCUUCGAUAGCAAGCAUCACAACUGAAGACUUGUAGCUCCUUGUUUGUAACUAAAGUGAGCCGUUCAUUGUGUAGUACAUGUCGUCUCCUUUAGGACAUUCAGCACAAUUCUGAUGUAGAGAAAAAUCACAAUUCACACAGCUAUAAAAAGAUUGAAGACCGAUGGGAUGGGUGCAUGCGCUGCAUCGUUUGGUAUCCUCAUACAAAACAACCAUUCUCAUUGAAUCUGAGGUAAUGCUUUGUGGCUGAAAUGUUGUAUUGUGUUGUCGUCUAUCACCACAUAUGGUUCUAUAUCUUCUUCUUCUUCAGGUACUCCUUCUAGUUCUUCCCCAUUCCACACAUCUUUUCUGGUAGCACAUUUAGAAUGAACGACAUAGCCAGGACACCUCUUGCAAGAAAACCCACCACAAGUCCAAUCCACUUUCUUGCGACAAACUCCACACACAGAAUUCAUAGCAGCGUCACCAAGAACCGAAGUACGAGAAACACAGUGAUCAUGCCGGUUGAUGUUAAUGACACGUGGAAGGCCAAGACAAUCUUGAUGGAUCAUGAAACCACAAUCAAAACAUGCGUAAGGGCUUCGAUCUCCCUUUAGACCGCAAGCAUUACAUGUAAAAGAAUCGAGUCUUGGAAGAAGGGUGAGUUGGUGAUCAUGCACUUUCGGAUCAACAAGAGAUUUUUGUGGUGGAAUAAGAACACAAUGGAAAUCCACAGUGAAGUUACAAGAAGAACAAUGAUAAAAAUAUUCACCAAUCUCUGUUCCGCAAAGACGACAUUUACCAUCAGAAUAGUGCGGUGGUGGACCUGUGAGGAGCUUAAGAGGAUGCAAGGAGUGGUAAGGGUGGUUUACCUCUGGUGAGUAAUUUAGCUUUAUUGCUGGGUUCCAUACACAAUCCACGUGGAAGGAUACAUCGCAUUCAUCACAUUUGUAAGGAAGUCCACCACUAGCCUUCCCGCAUUUAGCAGAACAGUCGAACUUAGUCCCUUUCUUGAGAAGUAUGAGCUUGUGGGGAUGGGUCUCAAAAUUGUCAAUAACAUUUGGUGGUUGUUGCUUGGCACAGUGUAGAUCCAAGUCGAAGUCACACAUGUCACAACGGUAGAAUAGCUUUGAGAUUUUCCAACGACAAAAGUCACAUCUGUUACUUGAUUCAUGUUGAAGCUCGAGAGUGUGCCCGGGGUGAGAUGGGUGGUCGAUGAAUUCAGAGAUCUCGUCGUUGCCACAUUUCUUGUGGACGAAAAAGACACAGAGUUUACAAAAGUAGCCGUCACUCUGUGAUUCAUAUCUCCCACAACAAUCACCUCUCCUCAGAUCAUUCCAAGGCAUCAUAGGAUGCUCGUGAAAUGGUAACCACACUCCCUCAGAUUCCAUUUGCUCUCUCUCUCUCUCGUAUACUAAAGAAGAUGAAGAAAGAGAAAGGGGUUGAAUACGUGUAUUAAGAAAAAGAAGAAGUCAUGAGGUUGAACAGUGUGGGCAUCUCUUUCUCUGGCCACUCAAACAUUAUCCCCUCUCAAGUUUCUUUGUUUUCAUAUUUCGAUAAAGAAAAGGUUCCCUAUGCUUAAGGUGGGGUUGUCCGCUUUGUUUUCUCUUUUACUUUUCUGGUUUUCUUUUUGCUUUUUCUCCAAAUGCGUAGUAUUGUCACUUAUCAGCUGCAUAACCGUAACGAAGAAAGAUGGUGGACGCUCAAGAAGCUAUAGUUCUGGCAGCAUUUGCCUCUUUCAGGAUAACCUUACAGAUUUUUUUCUCAUUAUAGUUGCAACUAUUUUGAUGACCAUGACCUAAGUUGAAGGUUAUGCAUCACUUUUGUUAUUUAGAUAGACGAUCAGCUGAGAAAUAAUUCUGGUUCAUUGUCGUCACUGUCUUUCUUGGAUGUAUCAUUAUAGAGACAUCGUUUCAGCUGUUUCAAAUAUUUCCAUGGAUAAUGAAGUCACAUUACGUACAUUGAUAAAAAGUAGAUUACAAACUUGUAUACUCGCUUCCGCUUGUCUAAUCAAAAUGCUUAUAAUCUUUUUCAACCUUAGUUACUAUUGCAGAUUACUCUUGAAAUUGUGAGAGAGGUUGAUUAUAGCAUGGACCCCAAAGAGAAGCUUGUUAAUUCAUCUCACAGAGCAAAUGUAUGUACCAGACCUUUAAGAUGAUAGCGUAUUGCAAUGGUAUGCCAAAAAUGGACGUGAUGUACCUCAAAUGGUAUGCCAAAAUACUUCAGCGUGUUCCCUGGCAUGAGCCACCUAGUGUCUCCGAGCACACACGUGUAGAACCAGUUCUUUGGAUUGGUAUCUUUCUUACCAAAUGUCACACCAGUAUUUGCCAUUUUCCUUUGAGAGCUUUACGUAUAUAGGUACUUUCGGCUUCCACUUUUACAGUUUAACAUACUUGUAGCUGGUGGUGUACUUUGUGUCUUACUUUUGAAUUAUUGUGACAAAAAUGCCCUUUACGAAAAGUCUCGUGACUAGUUGGUAGGUUUCUGGAGUCUUGUGCUUUUAUAGUGACAAUUGAAUUAGUGCAAAUUAAAUUUGAUCCGAUGGAUGUGUGUUUCGUGGUACAUAAGAAGUUUUUUUUAUUUUGUGUUUAACUGUAUAGUAAAUUUUUUUUAGUUAUGCAUAUUAACGUAAUGUAUGGUUGAUUUGGGAAUGAGUUGUUAUGUUAUAAUAGAAGGUGCAGUUAGUAAGAACAUACAUUUGUGGUCAAGAUCAUAGUAUAGGUAUGAUCAUUAAAAAAUUGUGGUCAUUUCUUUGAGAUUCAUAAUUUGUUUUUUAAUAACUUUUUGCUGACCAUUACAAUUCAAUAAUUGUGGUUAUGGAGAAAUUAUUUUAUAAGCAAGUAUGGUUAUAAAAUUUGGUUCAUUGGCUUAUUGAUGUGGUUAGGCAAGUGUGGUUAUAAGCUUUGGAUCUUUUUCUUUUCUUCCAGCUUUCUCACCUCUCGUUUUGAAUCUCACCGUCCAUUAAACAAAAAAAAUCAAAAUAUAGAGGAAGAAAAUCAUAAAUCCACCAUAUUUAUGAUUAAAAGGUAUAUGGCAUCACUAUUCUUCGCUUAACCUUUGGUUUCAUUAUCUUUCAUCUCGAUAUCUACGAGCAAGAAAAAAGUGAAGAAUAGAAGGUGACUCAGAUCUGACUCAACGACGCGGUGAGAGCGAGCGAACUUCACCUAUGAACGUUAAGCUUCCUUGAAAUCUAACGCUUCCACCGUCGAAGAAAACUUUGUCAUCAUCACUUCCAACUGAAUCGCCUCUUUAAAUAUUUUUUUAUUUUUUGGAUUCUUUUCUCGUGAAAUAAAAAUUUGUAUUGAAGAAUAAAAGGAAAAAAGAGAAAGGUAAAGCUUCACAAAGAGUUGGGUCACGAUAAAAGUAAGGGAAAUAGAAAGAUAAUUAAUUUCAGGGGUAAUUUAGACAAUAGCACGUACAAAAGUACUUGACAUGGGAAAAGUAUGCUAAAGUGAUAUAGAGUAGAGAUAAAGUAUGUCUAAGUGUAAAUUUUUCUUUUCCUUUUCUCCAUAGCAUAGUGAGAGAAUAUAAUCAUCAACCUAUGCUUUGCCUCCAUGGCUUAUUAAUAUUUAUUAAUAUUAUGAUUGUUCAUUUCGCUCUACCUCUUCCCAUAUCAAACGUAAACAAGAGAGCACUCAACAGAGCAAAAGCAUAUAUCUGGGGACCCAAGCACCUUGAGGUAGAUAGGGUACAUGCAACGAGACUUGCACCGAAUGCAAAAUGGGCGAGUUACACUAUUAUUCAGCACCACCUCAUGCGGUAUGCCCAACAACUUUGGUACGCUUCUUGGCAUGAGUCCUGCAGUGUCUCCGAGCACACAUUUUGUAUGCAAACUAGCCAAGUGAUCUUUACACGUGUAGAACCAUUUCUUUGGAUCGGUUUCUCUCUCACAGAUGUCGCACCAGUAUUUACCACUUGCCUCUUCUUCUUCCACAUAGCAUAGUGAGAGAGGAUGAUCAUCUACUCUGUGCUUUACCACUUGUGGUAGAGUGGCACAUUUGAAGCAUAUUACAAAUCCACAAUCAUCUUCAAUGCACUUGAGUAGACGAUAUUCCUUAUUGUUGCAACCAUUGCAUAUUCCCGUCUCUUCAAUGGAAUUGUCAGAUAAUACGAAAGUGUAAUAUAAGGGAUGGUGGUGAUGACGUUCAAAUGGCUCAGAAACUGAACCGCACAAGACAUCCAACUUCGUAUACCGAUCCUUGUAUAUGAAUCCAUUGCACAUUCGACUGCAAGCAUAACAUCCGAAGGUAUCUAGCUCCUUGUUUGUAAAUAAAGUGAGCCGUUCAUUGUGUAACACAUGCCUUUUCUUUUUAGGACAUUUAGCACAGCACUGAUGGAGAGAAAAAUCACAAUCCAUACAUCCAUAAAAGGAUUGGAGACCAAUGGGAUGGGUGCAUGCGCUGCAUCGUUUGGUAUCCUCAUACAAAACACCAUUCUCAUUGAAUCUGAGGUAAUGCUCUUUGUGGCUGAAAUGUUGUAUUGUGUUGUCGUCUAUCACCACAUAUGGUUCUAUAUCUUCUUCUUCUUCAGGUACUCCUUCAAGCUCUUUCAUGUUCCAAACAUCAUAUCUGGUAGCACAUUUAGAAUGAACAACAUAGUUAGGGCACGUCUGACAAGAAAAUCCUCCACAAGUCCAGUCCACCUUCUUGUGACAAACUUCGCAUACAGAAUUCAUAGCACCAUCACCAAGAAGCAAAGUACGAGAAACACGGUGAUCAUGUCGAUUGAUGUUAAUGACACGAGGAAGACCAAGACAGCCUUGAUGGAUCAUGAAAUCACAUUGAACACACAUGUAAGGGCUUCGAUCUCCCUUGAGCCCACAAGCAUUACAUGUGAAUGAAAGCAGUCUUGGAAGAAGCUUGAGUUGGUGAUCAUGAGCUUUCAAGUUCAAAAGAGAUUGUGGUGGCGGAUUCACAACACAACGCCAAUCCAAGGUGAAGUUACAAGAAGAACAAUGAUAAAACAAUUCUUUAUCAACCUUUCUUCCGCAAAGACGACAUUUACCAUCAGAAUAGUCAGGUGGUGGACCCUUGAAUAGCUUAAGAGGAUGCAAGGAGUGAUAAGGGUGGUUUACCUCUGUUGAGUGCUCUAGUGCUGCUGGGUGCCAUACACAUUCCACAUGAAAGGCUACAGCAUCACAUUCAUUACAUUGGUAAUAAAAUCCACAAGAAAAUCCUGCAGCAUAUGCAGAAGUCUUCCCGCAUUUUGCAGAACAGUGGAAGGCGCUCAGUUCCUUGACAAAUGUGAGCUUGUGGGGAUGCAUCUCAAAAUUUUCAAUAAUAUCUGGUGGUGGGUACUUGGCACAGUGUAGAUCCAUGUGGAAGUCACACAUCUCGCAACGAUAGGAUAGAUUUUGGAUUUUACUAUCACAUAUAUAGCAUACGUGAUCUUCUCGUUUUUCUUGAAGCCGGAGAGUGUGAUCGGGGUGAGAUGGGUGGUCGCUGAUGAAUUCAGACAGCUCGUCGCCACACUUCUUGUGCACGAAGAAAUCACAGAGUUUACAAUAGUAGCCAUCACUCUGAGGUUCAAAGCAAUCACAGCAAUCGCCUUUCCUCAUAUGAUGAUCAUUCCAAGGCGUCAUAGGAUGCUCGUGAAACAAUGGUAACAACACUCCUCCCUCAGAUUCCAUUUUGCUCUCUAGUAUACUAAAGAAGAUGAAGAAGAAGAAGGAAAGAUUGAAUAAUGGAGAUAGAUCUCUUGAAUAAUGGUGUGGUGUGUUUUCUCAAAGCUAUAUCUCUUUCUCUGGCCACUCAAACAUUAUCCCCUCUCAAGUUUCUUUGUUUUCAUAUUUCGAUAAAGAAAAGGUUCCCUAUGCUUAAGGUGGGGUUGUCAGCUUUGUUUUCUCUUUUACUUUUCUGGUUUUCUUUUUGCUUUUUCUCCAAAUGCGUAGUAUUGUCACUUAUCAGCUGCAUAACCGUAACGAAGAAAGAUGGUGGACGCUCAAGAAGCUAUAGUUCUGGCAGCAUUUGCCUCUUUCAGGAUAGCCUUACAGAUUUUUUUCUCAUUAUAGUUGCAACUAUUUUGAUGACCAUGACCUAAGUUGAAGGUUAUGCAUCACUUUUGUUAUUUAGAUAGACGAUCAGCUGAGAAAUAAUUCUGGUUCAUUGUCGUCACUGUCUUUCUUGGAUGUAUCAUUAUAGAGACAUCGUUUCAGCUGUUUAAAAUCUUUCCUCGAGCAUGUUCUGAUUCAUUGAGUCCAGAGUUUCAAACCCGGGAUAAUAUAUGAAACAUAUCAAUCAGACUUUUUUUUAUAACAAACCUUUACCAAGCAUUUUACAUGUAAGACUGAGGGUUACUGUGCUCUUCGUUCUCAAGGGAAGAUAUUGCAGAAAACGUAGAGCUGAAAACAUUAGGAGAAACAAUAGUCUUGGAAGGAAAAACAGUCUCCAUUGAUAAAAAGUAGAUGAACACGGUGAUUGAUGUUAAUGACCCGUGGAAGGCCAAGACAGUCUUGAUGAAUCAUGAAACCACAUGGAACACAUAUGUAAGGGCUUUGAUCUCCCUUGAGGCCACAAGCAUUACAUGUAAAAAAAAAAUCGAGUCUUGGAAGAAGAGUGAGCUGGUGAUCAUGAGUGGGGGGUUCAAAACAAUUCUAAGGCAAAGACGACAUGUUCCAUCAAAACACAAGGCAUAUCCAAGGUGAAGUUACAAGAAUAACAAUGAUAAAAACAAUUCUUUAUCAAUCUCUCUUGUGUUUGGAGUUUGAUUUGGCUUUGAUGGCGACGAGGAACCGAACGACGGUGUACAGGAAACACAGAGACGCGUGCUCCUCUGUCUGAUUCGUUCGGUGGUCCGGUGAUCGAAAUGGUUAGUGUUUGAUCCAAAAAUGGUGUUUAUCUUUGUGAUGUUUGUUGGAAUCAAUCAAAUAAAGAAUCUAAAGAUAAAAGCUUAGAUUCUUGAGGUUUAGGAGAAAUCUUAAAAGAAUCAAAUGAGAAAUGAACAUCAAAAGAAUUUAUUGAUUUAAGAUUGUAUUACAUGUAGGAUUACAAGUGUAAAUAAAUCUAAUAAUUCAUAAACCCUUUGUAAGAAGUGUUCUAAGUCUAAAAUGAAGAAGAAGACCCCCCGUCUAAUAAGGAGAUAAUUCCUUAUUUAUAGAAGAAAGAUGACUAGAGUUUCAUAGUAAAAUGGGUCUAAUUUAUUGUCUAAUGGGCCUUGAGGUAGAAUGUAAAUCUACCCCCAACAAUAAGUCCCCCCAAGUUCGUAGAGAGAGAUGAAGUCGAUCUCUGUGAAUUUUACGAAUAGGGUUUAUUAGACAAUAAACUAGACACAUUCAUGCCUAUGAUGGUUUAGGCGAGUUUACUUCGAACUUGUGCCUAGUAAAAGGCAAGUUUGCUUUAAACUCGUGCUUAGUGAAAGACGAGUUUACUUGACUCAUGCUGAGACAGAGGCGAAUUUACUGAGAACUCGUGCCUAGUAGUAGGAGAGUUUCUGUAAACUCAUGCCUUGUCAAAGAUGAGUUUUUGUAAACUCGUGUCUAACAAUAAGUGAGUCUAAUGCAAAUUUGUGCCUAAUAUAAAGCAAGUUGAAUUUAAACUCGUGCCUAGUAAAAAUAAGUUUACCGAACUUUGCCGACCCGAAGUCUCGUGUUGAGAUCGUGUGUGCCGAGCAAGUUAUUGGCUUGUGUGUUCGUCAGGCAUGAUGACGUAAGAAAGCGCCGGCUUGUGCUGAUUCAGACAAGUUUGUAGCUGAGAGAUCGCCAUUCCAAGCAUGAGGACAUGACAGUAGCACUCACUUGUUGAUUCUCUUUGGCUCAACGAUCUAAUCAACUCUGGUUCACAACAAAAAGCAUGAUCAGAUCAAGGUUAACCAAAAGAACCAGCCAAGUUUUGUAUAAUUGAUAAGCAAGCGAUAGUUUAACUUGUGUUAAUGCUCGGCUAUUGCAUAUGAUGUUAGUAAUUUAUCAAUUACUAAUCAUUAUGCACAGGUUGCAAACAACAAAUCAAUCAACCGUAAUUAUCUCAUAAAGGUUAUAAGAUACUUAUCUUUGAGGAUGAGCCUUGUUUGUAACUUGACAAAGAAGUUAUUGUGGACGUGAUGACAUUUUGUGCUGACGAUCUCAAUGGAUCGCUCUUAUCAGAGCUGAGAUGACGGUGAACUCAAAGCUGAUGACUUUAUCUUUGUUCCUCACUGUUGAGAGCUCGUUUCCUUUUGCAACCUCUUCUUCGUAUUUUUUUUUUGAGAUGACAAACUCGUAUGCCGGUUCAUGUUCAAAGCGGAGGUUAAGCAUGAAGCGUCGAGAGAGUACCACAGGCCUAGUGAGGAAGAUAACUUAGGAGUGUGCAUGAGCUUGAGCCUCUUGAUCCUUGAACUUGAGCUCGAGCUUCUUGAUGGCUGACGUGCGUGCAUGACCUUUAGCCUCGUGACCGUCGAGCAAGUGAUGGAGCUUUAGGCCCGCAAGAAGCUUCGUUGAUGGAGCUUUGAAGACGUCAUGGUGAUGAAGCCAUAAGAAACCGGGUGCCGAGAUCACAUGAUCACCUCUGUUUCUCGGCGGUGUACCGGACGAGCUUGAACUUACAUUGUUGUUUGGCGUUGACUUGUGCCUAGUAAAUCACAUGACUGUUGCUCGGCGUUAACCCGCACGAUCUCAAGGCUUCUGUCGCAACAAGAGCAGUCAUCGACGAGGUGAGACGAGAUGGACCUUGAACGGAGGCACGCAAACGAGGCCUUGAAGAGCUUGCCGGUAAUGACGUGCUUGUCUAGAGAGCUUUCUUGAAGAAGCAAGACCUUGUUGGAGAGGUUGUCAUCGACAUGAUCAUAACCAAUUGAACCUUCUCCUCGUCAUGAAGGAGCUCUCCUCCUAUUCUCACGCUCAUGCCAAGGUUAAAGCCUUUGUCGGGUAGAAAGAUGCGACCGAUUCCCUUUGCUGUGUGAAAGCAAAGGCCAGAGCUGUCCUUGGGCUUCUUGGGAUACAGCGAUCUCGGGAUGAAGAAGAGACAGCACUUGCUACAGCGGUCUCGUCUUAAAGAUGAGGCAAGAACUUCCUGUCACUCGGUUUCGUCUUUAACGAAGACGAGGAGCUUGUACUAUCCCGUCAGUGUGGCGAGCUUGUGUGAUGCAGUGAUCAAGCUCGUUUAUCAGACGAGAGCCAGAAAUGAGCAGGGUCUGUAAGCUUCCGAGCUGACUGGUAUGGCCUAGCCCUUAGUUCACCGUGAAAUUACGCUCCAUUCUAUUAAACAAAGACAUUAGAAGUUGAAAAUAAUUCGUAAGAAACUAUUUAAUAAUGCUUUGGAGAGUUAUGCAAGGUAGCUUGUCAAUUAUCUAUGGGAACAAUCGUUCAAAGUAUACAAUAAUUUAUAACAUUGACUCAGCGAAUGAAUAAUUGAUAAAUAAUUAAUCAAGAAUCCACGACUUGCACAAAGUGUGAAGUAUUAUUUAGUGGUAAUGGAUAAUUGACCAAAAUAUUGAAAAGGAGACUUAUCUUUUUUUUUUGUGUAGGCAAUUUUGAUGGAGAUAUCUUGUGCCAGUCUGGAGGGAUUUCGAACAGGAAGGUAUCUUGUAGUUACCAGGUCCACAAGUGAGUAGAUUCCCUGGUUUAAUCCAUUUAUGAGAUGCAUCUCCCCAUUUCACUUCUUCUAGAGCUACCCAUCCUAACCCUUGUACGAAUGCUCCUUCUAUCUGCAAAACAUGUUCAGGUUUCAGACACAAACGCAACACUCUUGUCUUAAUGAUUUCAAGUGGUUUUGUUUCAAGUACUUGUCCAAUAUCUAUGGCUGGGUUAAGAGAAUAUCCCAGGUCCAACUUUAUAUCGACCGUUUUUGUGUGAAAGUCACCGGUUAAUGUAUCGAUCUCAACUUCCGCAAAUGCAGCUCCGUAGGUGUAAUAUCUGAAUGGGUUUCCUUUACCGGAGAUCCAGUCAAAGCCAACAUCGGGAACAAUGUAAAAGCCAUGAGCAGAGAGGUCUAUUCGUUGAAAAUAGCAUGCACUUGCCAGCUACAUACCAAUCAAAACAAAGCAGGUUAAGAGAGUUUUAUUCAUCAAAAGGCAAAGAAUGUUUCAUUGAGUUACCUCAGCAAAGGAGUUGCCACUGAGCUUAGUGGCAAGAGGCUCCAUUCGUGCUUUAAUCUGCUCACAAGCGUCCAAAACCGCAGCACCGUACAUGCAGAGCUCAGAGAAGCAGCGGUUGGUGACGCAUUUGGAACCUAUCAAAAUAUAGAGCAACGAACAGUUUUGUGCCUGAAACAUAGUUACAUAUUAUUUCUUAACACUUUAUAUUAUAAAUAUUACCUUGUCGGUGCUCGUCUCUGAUACAAAAACGGAACUAAGGGGAAUGUUAAAGGCAAAAGCAGCAACUUGGGCAACCUUCGUAUGCAAUCCUUGACCCAUCUCUACACCUCCAUGUGUCACCAAAACAGUGCCGUCUGUGUACACAUGAACAAGAGCACCUGCCUAACACCCAAAAUAAAAAAUGGAUAAGUAACAAAAACUCUGUUUCUUGCUUCGCAAGAAAUGGUAGUGCAAAGUGGACUGUUUCUUACCUGGUUCAUGAACUUUUUGGUAAAUGAAACGCCAAACUUUGUAGGAACCAUAGCCACACCACGCUUUUUCCACCGGUUGUGGCUAUUAAAAUCGUCGACUUCUCUACGAGCCUUUAGAAAGUUGCAAGACACUUUCAGCUCCUUCCAGAGCUGAUGCAGUGUGCAAUGCUGAAUACACUGAGAGUAAUGUGUGAUAGAGCCUUCCACUUGAAAGUUCAUCUCCUAAAUUGACACGCAAGAAAACAUCAAAACAUGAGAAAAAAUUCCUAUGAACUUUCAGGAACAUUAUGAUUUCUUCAACUCACUUUGAUUUCUUCAGGGCUUCUAUCCAGUUCAGCUGCGAUUCUCUGGAUCCAGUUUUCGGUUAUAAGCAUGCCUUGCGGACCUCCAAAGCCUCGGAAAGCAGUGUUGCUAGGAUAGUUAGUAAAGCAAACGUUCCCUCUGAUCCUCACAUGUGGGAUCUCAUAGACAUUAUCAGAGUUAAACAUGGCAAUCUCAAGAACAGCUUGGGAAAGAUCCAAAGAGUUUCCACCAUUGUUGUAGACUUCAAGGUCAUACGCCAAUACUUUCCCACCAUUAGUAAACCCAACCUGUAAAUAGUAUCGGAAUAACAAUUAAUAAGAAAACGCUUUAUCUAAUAACCACAGAGGAUGAUGAUACCUUCGUUGCCACCAUCACUUGUCCAGACCAAACUACCAUGGGCUCCAUGUAAAAGUGUUCCUGGCUGCCCAUUUGAACCUCUCCAUUUAUUAUCCUAUCUCACUGACCUGACUGAAAGCAUAGCUCUACAUCUCCUUUCCUUAGCAUUUUCUCUGUGUUUGGGUGGAAACUUUUAGCAGCAAUAGCCUCCUUGAUUGAUAAUAUUGCUGGUAAUAUAGCAUUUUCAUGUGUAUCCGCAACAACCACACCAAUGACCUGAAAAAAUCCAGACACAGUUUAGCGAUAAUCUAAGAAAUAAAAAGUUUCAAGUCUUCUUACUUGUCCCACACAUGUGACCACAUCUGUAGCAAAUAAUUCUUCAUCAGCUACCACAGGUCCAGUCUUAUUAUCUGCUGGACCGUAUUUGGCAAGAAACAUACCAGCAAAACCACGUGAAGAUUUGGAGGCACUGGGGCAUCAGUAUAUUCUGCUUCCCCUGUGACCUACAUGAAAGUUCAAGAGUGUUGAGAGUUGAGACAUUGUGUUAUGCUUUGAUUUCACGAUUUCCUUCUAUAAUAGUUUACUGAAAAAUGCUUUGAUAAGCAAUCAUUUUCUACCCAAGAGAAGAGAGAUACAUCUUUCUUCCAUGUUUGAAUAGGCAGAGAUAACACAAAGAAUGGUGAUAACAACACUCGGUUACACUAUGAUUCACAGCGAUUGUUCUUUAAAUCCUCAAGAAUCUGUUACCUAUAAAUUUAUAAGAAAACAGCUCACCUUUUUAAAAUAAAAUAAAAAUAAGUUCGAUAGAGAUCAUCAAAUUCAUAAUGGAAGUGAACUUGUCCAAGGAAGAAUAUAAGAAACUUGAACGAAUAAAACAUCUUUCCUCAUCAACGAAACCAAUAUGUGCAAGAAACGGAGCAAAGGUAUGUCUCUGAGGUUCUUCCAAGCAACUUGAAGUAGAUAGGGUACUUGCAACGAUCCUUACACCGCCCCUUGCAAAACGGACGAGUUACACUAUCAUUGAGCCCCACCUGACACGAUUUGCCCCAAAUCUUUGCUAAACUUCUUGGCAUGAGCCCUGUCGAGUCUCCGAGCACACAACUUGUAUGCAAACUAGCCCGCUGAUCUUUACAAGUGUAGAACCAUUCCUUUGAAUCGGUUUCUUUCUCGCAGAUGUCACACCAAUAUUUACCACUUGCCUCCUCUUCUUCGCCAUAGCACAGUGAGAGAGGAUGAUCGUCUACUCUAUUCUUCACCACUUGUGGUAGAGUGGCGCAUUUGAAUCCCAAUGCAAAUCCACAAUCACCUUCAAUGCACCUGAGGACAUGUGAUUCCCUUCUGUUGCAACCAUUGCAUAUUUCUACUUCUUCUGUUGGAAUGUAAUAUAAGGGAUGUUGGGGAUGACUUGGAUGGAAAAAUGGCUCAGAAAUUGAACCGCACAAGACAUCAAAAUCCUUAUCUUCAUCCUUGUACAUGAAACCAUUGGACCUUCGAUAGCAAGCAUCACAACUGAAGACUUGUAGCUCCUUGUUUGUAACUAAAGUGAGCCGUUCAUUGUGUAGUACAUGUCGUCUCCUUUUAGGACAUUCAGCACAAUUCUGAUGUAGAGAAAAAUCACAAUUCACACAGCUAUAAAAAGAUUGAAGACCGAUGGGAUGGGUGCAUGCGCUGCAUCGUUUGGUAUCCUCAUACAAAACACCAUUCUCAUUGAAUCUGAGGUAAUGCUCUUUGUGGCUGAAAUGUUGUAUUGUGUUGUCGUCUAUCACCACAUAUGGUUCUAUAUCUUCUUCUUCUUCAGGUACUCCUUCUAGUUCUUCCCCAUUCCACACAUCUUUUCUGGUAGCACAUUUAGAAUGAACGACAUAGCCAGGACACCUCUUGCAAGAAAACCCACCACAAGUCCAAUCCACUUUCUUGCGACAAACUCCACACACAGAAUUCAUAGCAGCGUCACCAAGAACCGAAGUACGAGAAACACGGUGAUCAUGCCGGUUGAUGUUAAUGACACGUGGAAGGCCAAGACAAUCUUGAUGGAUCAUGAAACCACAAUCAAAACAUGCGUAAGGGCUUCGAUCUCCCUUUAGACCGCAAGCAUUACAUGUAAAAGAAUCGAGUCUUGGAAGAAGGGUGAGUUGGUGAUCAUGCACUUUCGGAUCAACAAGAGAUUUUUGUGGUGGAAUAAGAACACAAUGGAAAUCCACAGUGAAGUUACAAGAAGAACAAUGAUAAAAAUAUUCACCAAUCUCUGUUCCGCAAAGACGACAUUUACCAUCAGAAUAGUGCGGUGGUGGACCUGUGAGGAGCUUAAGAGGAUGCAAGGAGUGGUAAGGGUGGUUUACCUCUGGUGAGUAAUUUAGCUUUAUUGCUGGGUUCCAUACACAAUCCACGUGGAAGGAUACAUCGCAUUCAUCACAUUUGUAAGGAAGUCCACCACUAGCCUUCCCGCAUUUAGCAGAACAGUCGAACUUAGUCCCUUUCUUGAGAAGUAUGAGCUUGUGGGGAUGGGUCUCAAAAUUGUCAAUAACAUUUGGUGGUUGUUGCUUGGCACAGUGUAGAUCCAAGUCGAAGUCACACAUGUCACAACGGUAGAAUAGCUUUGAGAUUUUCCAACGACAAAAGUCACAUCUGUUACUUGAUUCAUGUUGAAGCUCGAGAGUGUGCCCGGGGUGAGAUGGGUGGUUGAUGAAUUCAGAGAGCUCGUCGUUGCCACAUUUCUUGUGCACGAAAAAGACACAGAGUUUACAAUAGUAGCCGUCACUCUGUGAUUCAUAUCUUCCACAACAAUCACCUCUCCUCAGAUCAUUCCAAGGCAUCAUAGGAUGCUCGUGAAAUGGUAACCACACUCCCUCAGAUUCCAUUUGCUCUCUCUCUCUCUCGUAUACUAAAGAAGAUGAAGAAAGAGGAAGGGGUUGAAUACGUGUAUUAAGAAAAAGAAGAAGUCAUGAGGUUGAACAGUGUGGGCAUCUCUUUCUCUUUCUUUGUUUUCAUAUUUCGAUAAAGAAAAGGUUUUCUAUGCUUAACGUGGGGUUGUCCGCUUUGUUUUCUCUUUUACUUUUCUGGUUUUCUUUUUGCUUUUUCUCCAAAUGCGUAGUAUUGUUUACUUAACCAGAAAAGAUGGUGGACGAUCAAGAGGCUAUAUAAUUCUGGCAGCAUUUGCCUCCUUCAAAUCACGGUGGGAAACACAUGUUUGUGCUCAAACGCAUCAAUGCCAUAACCCCCACAAUAUGGUUAACACAGUGGACUCCUGAACCACGCGACGUUUUCUGAACAACGAUUACAAUCUUCUGAUUCUUAAUUAUUGUCUGCUUCAUGAUUCCUAUAACUUAUGUUAAGUCUCUUGCCAAACUUGAAGGGAUCCAAAUAGUUCUCUCUUUCUUAAGUACAACAUGAAUUUUGUUCGCUCAUGCUAGUUAACUUAUUCUACUCUCUUUUUUUUUUUGUUUUUUCUUUGUUCAUAUGCAGGAAGACUGUAAAGUCUAUAAUCCAAGGGUUUCUUUCAGGAUAGCCUUAUAGAUUUUUUUUCACAUUAUACUUGCAACUAUUUUGAUGAGCAUGACCUAAGUUGAAGGAUAUACAUCACUUUUGUGUCGUAGCUUGACACAGAAGUUACCGUUUAUGUCGGGGAAACCUGUGAUUUUGGUGUCGAUCUGUAAAGUUUACCACCUGAUGAAACUGAAAAGUCUCAAACACUAAACUGAAAAGUCUCAAACACUUAACUCACAAAAGGAGUAAAAGAGUUCCAAUUUCCAGGGUAAUUAACUUCACGAUUUUCUUCUAUAAUAGUUUAUAGAAAAUGCUUUGAUAAACAAUCAUUUUCUACCCAAGAGAAGAGAGACACAUCUUUCUUCCAUGUUUGAAUAGGCAGAGACAACACAAAGAAUGGUGAUGUGUAGGACAACAAUACUCGGUUACACUAUGAUUCACAGUGAUUGUUCUUUUAGUCCUCAAGAAUCUGUUACCUAUAAAUUUAUAAGAAAACAGCUCACAUUUUUAAAAUAAAAUAAAAAUAAGUUCGAUAGAGAUCAUCAAAUUCAUAAUGGAAGUGAACUUGUCCAAGGAAGAAUAUAAGAAACUUAAACGAAUAAACAUCUUUCCUCAUCAAUGAAACCAAAAUAUGCAAGAAACGGAGCAAAGGUAUGUCUCUGAGGUUCUUCCAAGCAACUUGAAGUAGAUAGGGUACUUGCAACGAUCCUUACACCGCCCCUUGCAAAACGGACGAGUUACACUAUUAUUGAGCUCCACCUCAAACGAUUUGCACCAAAUCUCUGCUAUACUUCUUGGCAUGAGCCCUGCAGAGUCUCCGAGCACACAUUCUGUAUGCAAACUAGCCCGCUGAUCUUUACAAGUGUAGAACCAUUCCUUUGGAUUGGUUUCUCUCUCACAAAUAUCACACCAAUAUUUACCACUUGCCUCUUCCUCUUCGCCAUAGCACAGUGAGAGAGGAUGAUCGUCUACUCUGUGCUUCACCACUUGUGGUAGAGUGGCGCAUUUGAAGCACAAUACAAAUCUACAAUCAUCUUCAAUGCACCUGAGCACAUAAUCUUCCUUGCUGUUUUUGCAACCAUUGCAUAUUUCUACUUCUUCUGUUGGAAUGUAAUAUAAGGGAUGAUGGGGAUGACUUGGAUGGAGAAAUGGCUCAGAAAUUGAACCGCACAAGACAUCAAACUCCUUACCCCCAUCCUUGUACAUGAAACCAUUGGACCUUCGAUAGCAAGCAUCACAACUGAAGACUUCUAGGUCCUUGUUUGUAACUAAAGUGAGGCGUUCAUUGUGUAGUACAUGCCUUUUCUUUUUAGGACAUUCAGCACACUUCUGAUGGAGAGAAAAAUGACAAUCCAUACAUCCAUAAAAGGAUUGGAGACCGAUGGGAUGGAUGCAUGCGCUGCAUCGUUUGUUAUUCUCAUACAAAACACCAUUCCCAUGGAUUCGUCUUAGGUAAUGCUCUUUGUGGCUGAAAUGUUGUAUUGUGUUUUCAUCUAUUACCACAUAUGGUUCUGUACCUUCUUCUUCUUCGGGUACUCCUUCGAGUUCUUUCCCGUUCCACACAUCAUUUCUGGUAGCACAUUUAGAAUGAAAGACAUAGCCAGGACACCUCUUACAAUAAAACCCUCCACAAGUCCAAUCCACCUUCUUGCGACAAACUCCGCACACAGAAUUCAUAGCAGCGUCACCAAGAACGGAAGUACGAGAAACACGGUGAUCAUGCCGGUUGAUGUUAAUGACACGUGGAAGGCCAAGACAGUCUUGAUGGAUCAUGAAACCACAAUCAAAGCAUGCGUAAGGGCUUCGAUCUCCUUUUAGACCGCAAGCAUUACAUGUAAAAGAAUCGAGUCGUGGAAGAAGGGUGAGUUGGUGAUCAUGCACUUUCGGAUCAACAAGAGAUUUUUGUGGUGGGUUCAAAACACAAGGCAUAUCCAGUGUGAAGUUGCAAGAAGAACAAUUAUAAAACAAUUCUUUGUCAAUCUCUGUUCCGCAAAGACGACAUUUACCAUCAGAAUAGUCCGGUGGCGGACCUGUGAGGAGCUUAAGAGGAUGCAAGGAGUGGUAAGGAUGGUUUACCUCUGUCGGAUGAUCUGUUGCUGGGUGCCAUACACAAUCCACGUGGAAGGCUACAUCGCAUUCAUCACAUUUGUAAGUAAGUCCAACACUAGCCUUCCCGCAUUUAGCAGAACAGUUGAACAAAAUCGGUUCCUUGACAAGUGUGAGCUUGUGGGGAUGAGUCUCAAAAUUGUCAAUAACAUCUGGUGGUGGGUACUUGGCACAGUGUAGAUCCAAGUCGAAGUCACACAUCUGACAACGAUAGCAUAGCUUUGCGAUUUUCCAACCACAUAAAUCACAUAUGUUACCUCCUUUAUCAUGUCGAAGCUGGAGAGUGUGAUUGGGGUGAGAUGGGUGGUCGAUGAAUUGAGAGAGCUCGUUGUUGCCACAUUUCUUGUGGACGAAAAAGACACAGAGUUUACAAUAGUAGCCGUCACUCUGUGAUUCAUAUCUCCCACAACACUCACCUCUCCUCAGAUCAUUCCAAGGCAUCAUAGGAUGCUCGUGAAACAAUGGUAACAACACUCCUCCCUCAAAUUCCAUUUGGUGGUCGUAUACGAAGAGAGGGGAAGAAGAUGGCUAAAUCCCAAAGUUGCAUAAAAUUUCAAAGCUAGGUUAGAUGGUUAGUCUGAGAGGCGUUCUUAUAGACUUACUUUUUUACUUUUGGUGGUCAUUCAAUAAUAAUUAAAGUACUUCUCAAUUAUCAUGGUUGAUUAGUUAACUAUAUUUAGGACAGAAACCGACAAAUACAAUUAAUGGGAAAUUCUUUUCGCUCUAGCUUUUGUAUUAGUUUAUUGAAUAUUGAAUAAAGAGCUAUUCCAAUAAGUAAACAUGAUUGAUUAUGUAAUUGACUGAGAGAGUCAGUUGUCAGUUUCUCUGUGCGCCAAAACUCCUUACACUUUGCUUCAUAAUACUGUCGAAGUUGUAAGAGCAUUUCUAAGGGGACUCUAUUUUUUCCUCUAUAAUUUACACUAAAAUAGAGUAACUCUAUUAUAGAGUUGAAUUUGCUUCAAUGGUUCACUCUAUAAUAGAGUUACUCUAUAAUAGAGUUACUCUAUAAUAGAGUGAAAUAUAGAGUAAUCUCAUUUUUUUACUUCAAAUAUAGAGUGAAAAAACAAGAAUACUCUAUAUUUCACUCUAGAAUAGAGUAACUCUAUUAUAGAGUGAACCAUUGGAGCAAAUCCAACUCUAUAAUAGAAUUACUCUAUUCUAGAGUGAAAUAUAGAGAAAAUUAUAGUGUAGCAUUGGAGAUGGUCUAACCACUGCUGGUUUCAUCUUUGUAUUGUGGAAUGUAAUACAAAGGAUGAUGAUGCGUCACAUAAUAUAUCGUAACGUAAGGGAGAAUGGGCUUUGAGAAUUUACAAAAUAUAUAUAAUUCAAAAAAUUCACAAUCAGUUACAUGUAUUUCGGAGUAGACAGUGAUUUUGAUUGUGUCUAAAAAACAAAAAAAAAAAACAGUGAUUUUGGUCACAUAAGCAAAGUCUCAAACACUACUUGGUACAGAAGUUACUGCUUGCUUAUGUCGGGAAAACCUGUGAGUCUACCAUCCUCAUGUCUCAAACACUAAGCUUAGGGCUGAAAUCUAAACUCACAAAAGGAGAAAUAAACUCAUCGAAACAAGCCAUCCUAAUAUACGCUCAAUUUCCUGCCAAGACCCACCUCGGCUCUAGCCGCUUUGAUCGCAUCUUUAAUCGCAAAGAAAACGGAGGCUCACCAACUGUUUUUGACCAAUGUAUCUUGGGUCAGUUUCUUGACUUGUAAGUAAAGUAACAAAGCUUUGGGUGUGUGCUUUUUAUAUACCUUGAGAAGAGAAACCUAUAAGUUGAAGGGAAUCCCCGGUUUAAUCCAUUUUUGAGCUGCAUCUCCCCAUUUGACUUCUUCUAGAGCUACCCAUCCUAACCCUUGCACAAAUGCCCCUUCUAUCUGCAACAUGGUGAGAUUUCAGACAUAAAGACAACACUCUUUUGUUAAGAUUUCAAGUGAUUUUGUUUUUGUUUCAAAGAGAAGAGUGAGUACUUGUCCAAUAUCCCAGGUCCAACUUUACAUCGACUGUUCUUGUAUGAUAGUUACCAGUUAAUGUAUUGAUCUCAACUACUGCAAAUGCAGCUCAAUAGGUGUAAUAUAAAUUUGUAGUGAUUUUUGACUAGCGAUUGUUGGCAAGGCUGAGUCAAGCACCAGAAUUUCAAAAGAUGAUGUUCAUAAGCUUGUUACACUAUGUGUCACAGUGAUUUUUAUUAUUAUUUCUCAAGAAUCUGUUACCUAUAAUUUUAAAGAAAACAGCACGCCUUCUGUUAUAACAAACAUUAUGGGUAUGAUAAGUACAUUAGGGAUAUCAACUCAUAAUGGAAGUGAACUUGUCCAAGGAAGAAUACAAGAAAUUCUAAAACGAAUAAAUAUCUUGCCUCAUGGCGUACUUUAUUACACUUUAUAGUUUUAAUGAUUUAUAUCUAUAGACCUCUCGAAAUUAAUUAAGAUGAGCAAAAAUAAGAGCAAGCGUAUGUUCCUGAGGUUCCAAGCAACUUGAGUUUGAUAGGGUACAUGCAACGAGACUUACACCUGCUGCAAAAUGGGCGAGUUACACUAUUAUUGAGCUCCACCUCAUAUGAUUCGCCCCACAACUUUGCUACGCUUCUUGGCAUGAGCCCUUCAAAGUCUCCGAGCACACAUUCUGUAUGCAAACUAGCCCGCUGAUCUUUACACGUGUAGAACCAGUUAUUUGGAUAGGUUCUUUCCUCACAAAUGUCACACCAGUAUUUACCACUUGCCUUUUUCUCGCCAUAGCAUAGUGAGAGAGGAUGAUCAUCUAUUCUGUGCUUUACCACUUGUGGUAGAGUGGCACAUUUGAAACCCAAUACAUAUUCACAAUCACCUUCAACGCACCUAAGCAUCCGACGUUCUAUGUUGCUGCAACCAUCGCAUAGUUCUCCUGUUGGAAUGUAAUAUAAGGGAUGUUCGGGAUGACUUGGAUGGACAAAUGGCUCCGUAAUUGAACCGCACAAGACAUCUAACAUCUUAUCACCAUCCUUGUAUAUGAAACCAUUGGACGUUCGAUUGCAAGCAUCACAACUGAAGACACGUAGCUCCUUGUUCGUAACUAAAGUGAGCCGUUCAUUGUGUAGCACAUGCCAUUUCUUUUUAGGACACUCAGCACAUUUAUGAUGGAGAGAAAAAUCACAAUCCAUACAGUCAUAAAAGGAUUGGAGACCGAUGGGAUGGGUGCAUGCACUACACCACUUGUUAUCCUCAUAGAGAACACCAUUCCCAUGGAGCCUUAGGUUAUGCUCUUUGUGGCUGAAAUGUUGUAUUGUGUUUUCAUCUACCACCACAUAUGGUUCUACAUCUUCUUCUUCUUCAGGUAUUCCUUCGAGUUCUUUUCCGUUCCACACAUCCUCUCUAGUAGCACAUUUAGAAUGAACGACAUAGCCAGGACACCUUUGACAAGAAAACCCACCACAAGUCCAAUCCACCUUCUUGCGACAAACUCCGCACACAGAAUUCACAACACCAAGAAUCAAAGUACGAGAAACACGGUGAUCAUGCCGAUUGAUGUUAAUAACACGUGGAAGACCAAGACAGUCUUGAUGGAUCAUGAAAUCACAUUGAACACACAUGUAGGGGCUUCGGUCUCCUUUCAGCCCACAAGCAUUACAUGAAAAAGAAAAGAGUCUUGGAAGGAGGGUGAGUUGGUGACCAUGAGCUUUCAAAUCAACAAGAGAUUGUGGUGGUGAGUUCAGAACACAGCGCAUAUCCAAGGUGAAGUUACAAGAAGAACAAUGAUAAAACAAUUCUUCAUCAACCUCAUUUUCGCAAAGACGGCAUUUACCAUCAGAAUAGUCAGGUGGUGGACCUCUGAGGAGUUUAAGAGGAUGCAAGGAGUGGUAAGAAUGGCUUACCUCUGGCGAGUAAUUUAGCUCUCCUGUUGGGUGCCAUACACAAUCAACAUGGAAGGCUACAUCACAUUCUUCACAUUUGUAAGUAAAUCCAUCACCAGCUUUCCCGCAUUUAGCACAACAGUAGAACUCGGUCAAUUCCUUGAGAAAUGUAAGCUUGUGGCUGUGCGUCUCGAAAUUUUCAAUAACUAGUGGUGGUGGGUGCUUGGCACAGUCUAGAUCCACUUUGAAGUCACACACCUUGCAACGAUAGAAUGUAUUCCAAGUUUCCCUUCCACAUAAACGACAUAUACAAAAACCUUUCUUAGAUCGAAUCCGGAGAGUGUGAUUGGGGUGAGAUGGGUGGACGAUGAAUUCAGAGAGAUUGUCGCCACAUUUCUUGUGCACGAAAAAAUCACAGUUUAUACAAUAGUAUCCAUCACUCACAGAUACGAAGCGUCCACAACAAUCACCUUUCCUCAAAUCAUUCCAGGGCUUCAUAGGAUGCUCGUGGAUUAAUGGAAACGACACUCCCUCAGACUCCAUUUGAUAGUUAGUAUACGAAGAGAUAGGGGAAGAAGAAAGAUGGGUAAAUCUCAAAGUUGGAUCAAACUUCAAAGCUAUGUUAGAUCCGAUCAGUCUCAAAGGCAUUCUUUUAAAAUAAUAUAGACUUGCAUUUAGUUUUGGUGGUGUCACUAAAUAACUAUUAAAAUAGUUAUCACUUAUUAUGGUUGAAUAGUUUAGUAUAUUUAGGACAGAAACCAACAACUACAACUAAGAGCAUUCCAAUGGUGAUAUUCCAUUGGAAUCUUUAGAAAAAAUGUUUUUUGAUUUUUAAUUAUAAUUUUUUUAUUUUUUUCAGAUAAAAAAAAUAAAUACCAAUCAGUCGCGGACUGCCACAUGUCGUGGGGAUCCACAAAUAGUGCAAGGAUUCACUAAAAAAGAAUCUUUAUUUAGGGAUUUUAAGGAUUGAAUCCUUAGCUUUGGUGGAGUUCACUGAUUAUUUAAUUAUUUUUUUCUAAGGACUUCUCUUUAAGGAUUGUUGUUGCGGAUGCUCUAAGACUACUAACAAUGGGAUAAAACAGUUCAAUUUUUUUUUCAACAGCUUCCAUGUUAAAUAAAACUAAAGUGAGUCCAACAGUAACACAUGGCAACAUAUGAAAAAAGUGAUAUUUCAUUGGGCUCCACAUGCAACAUUUUAUUGGUUAAAAAAAAUCUGUGUGUUUUAUUUUCUCCUCUAAAUUAUUAAAACUUAAUUAUUUUAUGGUGACUUAUAUUUUUCAAAACAAAAAUUAUACCAAAAAUCAUCAUUUUUUUUAUGAUCUAUACAUAUAGAUUAGUCUCAUUCUUUUUGGAUAUAUAGGUUUUUUUGUCAUUUUCACUAUUUUGUAAUUUUAUUUGUUUAAAGGUGAUUUUUAUUUUUGUAUUUAUUAUUUUUAAAAUAUAAAACAAUAAAAUAUGUUAAAUUUUUUAAGUUAAAGAUAUUUAAAACUUGAAAUAUAUUUAUUUUAAUAUAUUGUUUACAAAAUGAAAUAUUUUUAAAAAAAUAUGAAAUAAAAUUGUGGAGUAGGGUGUUGAAUGUUCUUAAAAAAAACUAUUGUAGAUGAAAAAAGUUAGAUGAUUAUUGAAUUAUUAUGUGGAAGAAAGAGAUGAUGAUGUGGAAUGUAAAAAGUGUAAUUUAGGCUGUUGAAAAAUUGUGACUAUUGUAUAUAGUAUAAUGGGAAAUUCUUUUCGUACAACUUUCAUCAUUAUAUGGAAUGGUUGCAAGUGAGAAUUAUAAGUGCUCUAGCUUUUACAUAAGUUUAUUGAAUAUUGAAUAAACAGCUAUUCCACGGUAUAUGUGGAGAGCAUAAUCAUAUAAAUAAGUAAAUGUGAGUGAUAGUAACGGUUAGUAAUUGACUGAGAGAGCCAGUUCUGAGUAUGCUUCAUAUGAUUGUCCAAGUUGCAGCUACUGCAGGUUUCAUCUUGUCAAAUGGAAUGGAAUACAAGGGAUGAGGGGUCACAUGAUAUAUUCUUAACGUAAGGGAUGAGACUUUACGGUAUACAUUAUUCAAAAGAGCACUUAAGUGAUUUUGGUCACCUAAGCAAACGCCUCAAACACAACUUGGUACAGAAUUUAUUGCUUAUGUCUGGAAAACCUGUGAGUUUACACCUCCUCAUGUCUCAAACACUAAGCUCAGGACAGAAAUCUGAACUCACAAACGGACAAGUAAACUCAUCGAAACAAGCCAUCCUGAUACGUUCUGGAGUAGCAGGAGUGUCCAAAGGGAACCAUUCGCUGCCAAGACCCACCUCGGCUCGAGCCGCUUUGACUGCAUCUUUAAUCGCAAAUAAAACCGAUGAUGCCAGGAAAAACGGAGGCUCGCCAACCGCUUUGGACGAAUGUAUCCCCUUUGAGUUUGGAUUCCCCUAAUAGAAAAAAAAACAUCUUGGGUAAGUUUCUUGCCUUCCAAGUAAAGUCACAAAGGUUUUUAUUGUUACAUAUAUAUAUAUAUACCUUGAGAAGAGAAACAUUGAAGUUGAAGGGAAUGUCGUUAAUGGAAGGUAUCUUGUAGUUUCCAGGUCCGCAAGUGAGUAGAUUCCCCGGUUUAAUCCAUUUAUGAGAUGCAUCUCCCCAUUUCACUUCUUCUAGAGCUACCCAACCUAACCCUUGUACGAAUGCUCCUUCUAUCUGCAAAACAUGUUCAGGUUUCAGACACAAACGCAACACUCUUGUCUUAAUGAUUUCAAGUGGUUUUGUUUCAAGUACUUGUCCAAUAUCUAUGGCUGGGUUAAGAGAAUAUCCCAGGUCCAACUUUAUAUCGACCGUUCUUGUGUGAAAGUCACCGGUUAAUGUAUCGAUCUCAACUUCCGCAAAUGCAGCUCCAUAGGUGUAAUAUCUGAAAGGGUCUCCUUUACCAGAGAUCCAGUCAAAGCCAACGUCGGGAACAAUGUAAAAGCCAUGAGCCGAGAGGUCUAUUCGUUGAAAAUAGCAUGCGCUUGCCAGCUACAUAACAAGUCAAAAUGAAGAGAGUUUUAUUCAUCCAAAAUGCAAAGAAUAUUUCAUGGAUUCAACUAGAGUUAC
Molecule: long non-coding RNA, 51316 nt
Filed under: Brassica rapa (field mustard)
Lineage: Eukaryota; Viridiplantae; Streptophyta; Magnoliopsida; Brassicales; Brassicaceae
Description: long non-coding RNA (BRAP_LNC006240)
Source: RNAcentral